AUGCAAAAUUACUACACUGCACAUAAAGUCAACGACAAACAUCUUUCUCCUUGCUUCUUGCAUCUUGAGCCUUGAUCAUGGAGUUACUCUACACCAUUCUAGGUCUCUUCAUAUUCUUGAUUGCUGUAAAGUAUCAGUAUCUCCGAAAAAAGAACCGAAAACUGCAGCCUCCAAGUCCUCCAGCUCUUCCAAUUUUGGGCCAUCUUCACCUUGUGAAGACUGCCCCUCACCUUGCCCUGCAAAAGCUCUCCAUCAAAUAUGGUCCCCUGAUUUUCCUUCAUUUUGGGAUUCGUCCUUUCCUUGUUGUUUCCUCGCCAUCUCUUGCAGAGGAAUGCUUAACCAAGACCAAUGAUAUUAUUUUCGCGAACCGGCCUGAGUCAGUUUCCAGUAAAUACCUUGGCUACAACUCAACUAUUCUCAUACUCUCCCCUUAUGGAGAUCACUGGCGAAAUCUCCGCCGAGUCACAACCAUCCAUAUGUUUUCUUCGAUUCGACUCCAGCGUUUCUCCUCCAUCUGGACUGAAGAAAUCCAUUUCAUCAUCAAAAAUUUGUUUUCCAGUAACUCUGAUGAGAAAACCUGGAAAGUUAAGGACAUGAGUUCUUUGUUCCGGGAGUUAUUAUUCAACGUGAUAAUGAAAAUAGUUGCUGGAAAAAGAUGGCCAUCUGAUCAGCCAGGUGAUAUAUUUUCACCGCAAGCACUCACUGAUCUUUGUGAUUAUAUUCCAAUCUUGAGGUGGGUUGGCUAUGGAGGGUUGGAGAAAGGUGUAAUCAGUUUGCACCAGAAGAGGGACGAGUUUCUUCAGGGCCUGAUUGAUCAAACACGUAAAGAGGAAGCAGAAGACGGUUCUUGUUCGACAGAGAGAAGGAAAACAAUUAUUCAAAAAUUGUUAUCUCUACAAGAAGAAGAACCCGAAUACUACACUGACGAAAUUGUUAAAGGAAUUAUACAAGUAAGUCUCUUCUACUUGAAUCUCUUUCUCAAAUUGGUCUAUAAUUCAUUAGGACAAGGUCAUCUCACCCAUGUAGCAGCAGUAGCACAAAUUGUCUUAGCCAUAUUUAGUGGUAGCGCCAAGACUAGUGGUGAGGGAUGCAGUGAUCCACAACCGCAUGCUUUUCAUGGUUGAAAUUGGAUCAUAUUAGCUCGAUUUGAUCUGAAUAUUGAAAUGAUCAAAUUAAACCGUAUCUUGAUGUUGUGGUCUGAUCUGAACUGUAGAAAACACGUCCGACUGUAGAUAGGCACCGGAUCUAGUGGCGGUGAGUGGGGAAAUGGUAUAUGCCACUAACUUCUGUUGGUGUCUAGAUAAGAAAUUUGGUGAAAGUCUUUUCAAAAAUUUGGUCCACAUGUUCGUCAACUUGCAAAUUGGAUAAGUCUUCUUGACGGGAGAGGGGAGAGAUUUGGCGUAGUUUGGCCCAAUUGUUAUAUUUUUUAUAUUAUUUGGUGUGUAAUUAUAUGAUAUUAUUUUAUUUAAAAUAAAAGUGAUAUACAUGAAUACAAUAUUUGAUAUAUAUUUAAUACAAUAUUAUGAUAUAUUCGUACAUCAAAAAAUUUAAACAUUAACUGUGAUGAUAUUUGACAGCGGACAAUAGAAGCAAAUCAGAUUAAGUGAUGAGACGUUAACCGUGAUACUUGUGGCUGGGUUUAAGUCAACGGUGGAGGCUGUGAGAUAGUUUUAGAAUUGGUCGUUCUGAAGGCUCUUUUUGAAAAAUAUACAGAAAAAUGUGCACAAAUCCAAAAUUUAAUCAUGUACAACUCAAGCCACGUCAAGUCGGAAAUUUUUGGACUUUUUUUUUUAAAAAAAAGAACUCUAUCAAUUACUAAAGACAUUUUAAAAAGGUAUUUAAGGCUUAAAUGCAUAAAACUCCCAUGAACUAGUUCACUGGUUGGACUUUACACUCUAAAGUAUUUUAAUAGGCACUUUACACCUAUAGUUAACUAAAAAAAAACAUGAAAAUUAAUUUCAUCCAAAUAAUUGAUGAAAUUAUUAAUUUAUCCUCCAUUAAAACUUAAGUGAUAAAAAUAAUAUUUUGGUGGGGAAGAUUACUAAUUUAAAUAGACUAAUUUUCACUUUAUAUCAAAAAGUCUAAUUGUUAACACAUAAAAAAUCGAUUUGAAUGAGGAUUAAGACUAUUGGGGUCAAAAUGGGGGCAAAAUAUAGAAAUAUUGAGUGAUUACUCUUGCAAUUUUUAUAAUCUCAUAAUUUACUUCAACGCAUCAUAAUGUAGCAAAAUUUCAUUUGAAAUAUUCACAAGCAUAAAAUUGGAGUAGAACCCAAAAAUUUGCAUAUGAAUUUAGCACAAUAAUUGCAAUAAAAUUUCAAUACCGAACCAAAAUUAGAAGCCAUAUAUUAGGAAACAAAAUAUUGGGCUACAAAAUUUUAAUAAAACACCAAAAUUAUUUACUUUUCCUUGACUACAAUCUUUUCUUACCUAGGCUAACUUGAAAUACAUAGUAAAAUAAGGUUGAUGAGAUUCUUGAAUUGAAUUUAUUCAUUUUCUUGUUUUUUCCUGCUUCUUUUGUUUUAAUUGUCAUUCAAAGUGAUCAUAUAUUUUAUUGUUAUAUGUUUCAAAUUAGAAUUUUAUUAUGAAGUGAAAAUUAAUCCAUUUAAAGUGACAAAUUUUUUCUACCAAAAGGGUAUUUUUGUCACUUAAAAGCUUUUAAUGGAGGAAAAAUUGGUCAUCUCAUCAAUUAUUUAGAUGGAGUUAAUUUUCUUAUUAUUUUAAAGUUGACUAAGGGUGAAAAGUGCCUAUUAAAAUAGUUUAGGGUACAAAAUGCAACUAGUGUAAUAGUUCAUGGGGGUUUUCUACAUUUAACCCCCUAUUUAAUUUUGGCUUUUCAGUUUAUACUCUGAACUAUGAAUUGUGAUACUUAAGUAUAAUAUACUAUCAAUUUUGGGGCACAUCGUCCAAAUAAGAUAAAAUCAAUUAAUUCUUUUAGCAACUUUAGAAUAAAAUACUUUAAUACCCCUAAACGAAUUAGAGAAUUUGGACAAACAACAGAUUAAGGAUACUUGAAGCCUUCUAAACUAACUAUAGAAAAAGUUAUUUGGAUUUGACCAAUGGGCCAACAAAAGAACAAGAUACUGAAGUUCUAAAAUUAGCAAUUUAGAGAGUAACAAGCAAAUUGGUGAUAAUUUAGAUGUGAAUAUUGGCAAUAACACCCAAAAAAAGGUAGUUCCUUCAUGCCUUUACAUAUAAUUGAGGUCUAUAGAUAUCACAUGCCAUAAUAUAUAGUUCCCUUCUUAUGUUGACUGGUGGACAUUUAUUUGCGAUCAAUGUCAAAAGUGUAAAUUAUUGAUUCAUGAUCUAUAGCAAGAGAAAUGACAUUAUUUGUCAACAACUUGAUUCUAAAAACUAAUUCCUAUUCUUUUCUUAUUCAUUCAAAAAGUUGCAUUGAAUUUGACUGUACAUUACUUCUUGUGUAGAUAAUGUUAUCAGCCGGAACACAUACUACAUCUCAGACAAUGGAGUGGGCAUUGUCCAGCCUAUUAAAUCACCCUAAUGUACUGCAAAAGGCAAGAGAUGAGCUAGAAAAAAUGCAGCCUGGCCAUCUGCUAAAUGAUUCCGAUCUCUCCAAAUUGCCUUAUUUACGCUGCAUAAUCAACGAGACACUAAGGUUAUUUCCUGCGGCACCAACUCUUGUGCCUCAUUUUUCAUCUGAGGAUUGCACCAUAGGAGGCUACAAGGUUCCAAAAGGUACAACUUUGUUAGUGAAUGCUUGGGCAAUUCACAGGGACCCCAAUGUUUGGGAAGAGCCCAACAAGUAUAAGCCAGAAAGAUUUGAAGGAAUGGAUGAGGGAGGGUGGAAUGAAGGGUUCAAAUUUCUUCCAUUUGGAAAAGGCAGGAGAAUUUGUCCAGGAGCUGCCAUGGCCAUAAGGUUGGUUGGGUUGACAUUGGGCACCCUGAUUCAAUGCUUUGAGUGGGAAAGAGCAGGGCCUGAAAUGGUGGAUUUGGAAGAAAAUCAAGGAGCAACUUUGGGCAAGGCCAAGCCUUUGGAGGCAUCUUACAGGCCACGCCCACCGAUGAUCAAAACAAUUUCUCAGCUUUAAGUUAGAUAUGUUGUUCUAUUGAGAUAAAUUGGGAUUUCUUUUUUUUUUUUUGAAUUUAAAUAUCAAGAUAUGAGUGUCUGAUUUUUGGUUUUGAGCUCCUCUUACAAUUUCAGAUUUGUAGUUGUAACUUUCUUUCAGUACAAGUUGACGCUACAAUUAUACAAACUUAAGUAUUUUACAUGGAAAUGUGGAACAUUAAAUGAUUCCAAUUCUACGUUGCGGAGAAGGAGAUGCAAAGCACAAUCCCACAAGCCAAAAUAAUGAAAACGGUGUGAAGAACCAAAAGGAAACAAUCAUUAUACCAAUACAAUGGUAAUUGCACUACUUUCAAAUUGAGUAUCUUAGUUUGCCCUCAUUGAAGAAUUCAAAGAAUAAGAGUUGAAAGUGACAAUGACUGGAGAAAACUGGCAUCCAUGGAGACCCUAAUGUUUGGGAAGAAGCAAACAAAACGGUGUGAAGAACCAAAAGGAAACAAUCAUUAUACCAAUACAAUGGUAAUUGCACUACUUUCAAAUUGAGUAUCUUAGUUUGCCCUCAUUGAAGAAUUCAAAGAAUAAGAGUUGAAAGUGACAAUGACUGGAGAAAACUGGCAUCCAUGGAGACCCUAAUGUUUGGGAAGAAGCAAACAAGUUUAAGCCGGAAAGAUUUGAAGGGAUUUAUGAUGAAGGGUUCAAUUUUCUUCCAUUUGGAAAUGAGAAGAGAGCUUGUCCAGGAGCCGCUUUGGCUAUGAAGUUAGUUGCAUUGUCAUUGGGCACUUUGAUUCAAUGCUUUGAAUGGGAAUGAAUAGGGCCUGCAAUGAAGGAUUUGGAAGAAAAUAUAGGCUCAAAUGGGGGCCGAGGCCAGCCUUUGGAGUCAUUAUACAAGCCAUGCGAGUGUAUGAUCAACUUGAUCUCUCAGCUUUAGUUAAGUUAGAGAUCGAUGUAGUAUAAUCUGUUCUUCUCUUCACUGAAAUAAAAAGAUUGAAAUAUUUCGUUCCAGAACAUAAAACUGCAAGUGGGGUAAGAAUGUCUAGGAACAAAGAGGAAUAUGGCAUGAAGAAUUAAAUGCUUGAAAGCGAACAUCCUAUGCUCUGCAGUUCAGGCUUUUCAAUCAGUAGAUACAACAAGGUCAUGGAAUCCCUUCCCAUAUUGGCAGUUUCAUGGCAUCUCUUAUCAGUGGUCACAUAUUGAAUAUUCCUAGCAUUCAGACAUUCCAAUUUGACAAAAACAUGCUAUGACAGGGCAACAAAACAAAGAAAUAAAAGAUGCCUUUUCGUAUGCAAAUUGAAUUGAGCUCAUUGUGACAAUUGACAGCCUUUGUUGAUGCCACUACAAUGUCGGGGCAGGCCCACAUAUUUUUGGUAAAUGUUGGGAUGAAGAAUCCCCGUGCACACAGCGGAAGCAAUUCUAACACAUAAAAAAUAUAUGUGAAGAGGAAGAGAACAAACACUCAAUAAUUUAUUUAACUCAAAAUAAAUACUAAGUCGUAGCCUUUCGGUCACAACAACUUACAAAUCUCAACUAUGAAAUUUUCUCUCAGGUCUAAUCUCUAGACUCAACUCAACUCUCCACACAAUAACCUACUAGACUAUUAGUAUUUAUAGACUCCAAAAUUUCCUAAAACAAAUACGGUUGUAAACCAAAACUUAUUUGAAAACUAAUUUGAGAUUUCCUAAUCUAAUAUGAAAACUAAACAAAUAAGAUACCAAAACGAAUUAGGAAACUAAAAUAACUUGGUUUAUUUUCCUACAUUGCCUCCCUUAAACUAAGCUCUUCAAAUUUCACCAUGCUGAGCAUUUUCUUCAAUUUCAUGAACCUCUCCAAUUUGAGUAGUUUUGUCAAAAUAUCAGCUACUUGAUCUUCACUUCUGCAAUAAUCAAUGACAAUUUCUUGCUGUUGAACGAACUCACAAAUAAAAUGAUACUUGAUGUCAAUAUGUUUGCUGCGCCCAUGAAAAAUUGAAUUUUUUGUCAACUCAAUCGCAGACAAACUAUCACAAAAUAUUUUGGUAGGACCAUCUUGCUUGUGUUGUAAGAAUCCAAGCAUUCUCCGCAACCAAAGUGCUUGAGUAGCACUACUUGUGGCCGCCAUGUACUCCUCUUCUGCUGUGGACAAAGCAACCACCUAUUGUUUCUUUGAGGACCAAGAAAAUACACCAGAUCCCAAGUAAAAUGCAUAACCAGAAGUGCUCCUCCUUUGUAUUAUGUCACCAGUCCAAUCAAAGCUUGCAAGUGAGACUGGCGCAGAGAUUCCAUGAAUCUGCUAAUCAAACCAACUCCAUAAGUGAUUCAGGUCUCGUGAAAGUUAAAUACUUGAGACUUCCUACCAACGUCCUAAAGUAAGUAGCAUCAACAAAAUCACCAGUACCAUCUUUGGUUAAUUUCAAUAUUUCUUCAACCAGGGUCAUCAUUGGUUUAGCCACAUCCAUCUUAAACUUCUUUAGAAUAUCACUUGCAUACUUCCUUUGUGAGAUAAAAAUUCCACCAUCCAACUAAUGAACCACAAUACCAAGAAAAUAAGACAUCAAUCCCAAAUCUGUCAUCUCAAAUUGACUAAUCAUGGCCUCCCUGAAUUUAGAAAUUAGUUUGGGAUUAUUGCCUGUAAAUAUCAAGUCAUCCACAUACAAGCAUACAAUAAGGACAUCUCUUCCAAGGUUGAAUUUGAUGUACAGAGUAUGAUCAUAUGGACAUCUCAGAAAACCAUGCUUAAUAAAAUAAGAAUCAAUGCAAGUAUCCUAAGCUCUAGGAGCUUGUUUCAACCCAUACAAUGCCUUUUCCCAUCUAUACACUUUGUUUUAUUGACCAUUUCUAACAUAACCAACAGGCUGCACAACAUAUACCUCUUCUGCCUUUUGCUUAUGGCCUUUGACGACCCUACCUCCUCCUAAGGCGAACCAAGGGGUUCGGCGGACCGCCUACCCAACUCUCGUCAGGACUCGUUCACUCACUUAUAGCUUCAAGAGCAAGUAAGAUGUGCCAAUCAAACUUAACAUAUAUACAAUCAUUAACACAGAUAUACAAUCCUCAAGGUUAAGUACAAAAGCUCAGGAUCCAACCAACUACUAAUACUAUCACUAUUACACAACAAAAGUUCUAGUCAAAAGUUUAGUCUUUCUCUAAUCACCCGUCCUUGCUCAAGAACCCUGUAAGAAAAACAAAAACUAAAGGAAUGAGUUAAAACUCAGUGAGGUUCCCAUGCACAUAAUCAAGCAAUUGAAACAAGGAUAUUAUUCAGUUAAUAACAAUCAAUCGAGAAAACAUUCACAAUAUAAAAACAAUGAGAAUACACUCAUUAAAAGGAUACAUGCUCGCGUGGAGCUAUUCGUUCAAUUAUUCAUUCAUUCAGCUAGUCAUUCUCCUUCAUUUAAUCAUUCAUUUCUUCCCUUAUAAAUUCAACAUUUCCAUUCAUUCAUUUCAUUUCUCGCCACUAGCCAAUUCACUGGCCAAUUCUCCACCAAAUUUCGUGGUCAUACUCGAGUAUACCAAAAAUUAUCUCAAGGUCACCAGUCGCCCGAUCGAGUCCAUUUCUGACUCAAGUCGACUGGCAACAAAGGGCAAGGGUCCAAUUCAGCCAAUGCGGUACCAUACAACCCACAUAGUUUACAUUCAUGCACAGGUAAUGCCCAAUCAGUUAAUCAUUAGAAAUUCACUUUCGCUUAGAUCAAGUGCAAUAAAGUACACACUCGACCAUUGAAAAUCCAUUUAACAGUCAUUGGAAGCCAUUUAACACUCAAUCGAAGAUUCACAACAAGUACACAGUCAUUUAAUACACAAACAUGCAAGAAACACUCACCUUAAACAAGUCACGUUUUAUCAAAAUUUAGUUCAGGGCCGGCAUCUUGGCCACUCCCGAAAUCUGCAGUCAAAUAUUAUCUACAAAGAGCCAAUCAUAUACGAGUGCAAGCUACAUAACUUAUAUUUCUAUAUGAAAGUAAAAAGGCCAGAAAAGGAUAGUAAGUCAUAUAGGCAAGGUGCACGCAUAAUUUGUAAAAGAAAAUGAUCAAAAGCGGUUAAGUUCAAAACCAAUAUGUGCAACUAAAAAUCAUGUUUCGAAUACUUGUUUAGAAUGUUGGAAAUCAGGUUUAGAACACUUGAGAAGUAAAUGUUAAGUCAGAUCAAGGAAACGAAAAACAAGAGAAAUGCAACGAGAAACAAUGAAGAUAGCAGCUUUACCAUCCUUUGGUGUUUUGAUCACAACUGAAGCUACACUUAUCGGCUCGAGAAAAAUUUUAUGAUGUUUCAAAAUAAGACCUAGACUUACAUUUUCUAUGAAGACAUCGACACCCAAUUCUCACAUUUUCAGGGUAAAAAAUGGACAGUCAAAAGCACAUGAAAAACAGGUCAGAAAAAUUAGAGUUUUUGCGCAGUCAGGAGUGCUCUGGCCAAAUUAUAAGCUAAAAUGAUUCAAUUGAUCUAAAAUUUUGCAGGUAGAAAGUUAACUCAAAUCCCAAUAACUUUCAUGUUUUGUCUAAAAGCUGAUUCAGUCUAAAACAUGGAGAAAUUCGCAGCACAAAUUGAUUCCAAAAAUAGGGCAGAGCUGAAAUUCACCAAAUUGUCUAGUUUUCUUUAAAGUUUCAACUCCCAACUCAAACCCAAUCAAGAUUACAUCACUACGCUACCUCCUGUUAACUUAACCCUGGAUACAAAAGUUUUGGCAGCACCUCUCCUAUUUUCAAUCCUUUUCUCCUUGAAAAUCAAGGUGUAAACCACAGUAAUCCCAACACAAUCAAAGCCACAAGAUAUUACAAGGCUUAUUCUAGUCUAUCAAAACCCUUCAAAAUUCACACAAAUAGAAAUUAACCGAAAGACAUCAAAGCUGAAAUUUCCCAAUUCAAGUAAAAAAAUCACUUAUUGAAGUUGUAAACAUGCAUAUCAAAGCUCAAUCACCUUCUAAUACGAUUGGACAACCUAUAUCAAAAUUACAAACUUAACAAAAAUUAAAAUUUCACUUCUUAAGGUAAACUUUGCAUAGAACUAUCACUAAUUGCGAUUAAAAGUUAGAAAUUCCACCUUAACACUAAACUAGCUUCUACUAAUCAUAUACAUGCCAAAUCAAAGAUGAAAUAACUUAUAUAAAAUCUGAAAAAUAUCAAUAAAACUGAAAUUUAUCAUCCCAACCCUAAAAUCACAAGAAUCUCCAAAAAAUCAAUAAAAAUCAAGUUAUCCAACAACUUAAUCACAAGAUUAAAGAACAAAAGGAGCUUCUAAUGAUUACACCUUCCAACACCCUGAAAACAAGCAAAACAAAUCCUUUUCUUCUCAAAAUACUCCACCCUUAGUUUGCUAUCACCUUAGAUGCAAAGUUAAUCGGAGUAGUUUUUGGCAAUUGGAAGAAAUCUCUCAAGAUUUGGUAAAGGAAAUCAAAGGAAAAAUGGACUUAACUUGCUUGGUUUUACUCCUCUUGAGGUUCGGCCAGCUCGGAGAAGAAAGAAUGAAGAGUUUUUGUGUUCCAAAUGAAGUGAUAAAUAUAAAGACUUAAGGGUCCGUUUGGAUUCUUGUUGUUUGGCCUGUUUUUGAAAAACUGUUUUUCACAAUCCAAAUGCUACAGUAAAUGUGUAUUUCAAAAACAACUCCAAAAACACCAUAUCCAAACAAUAUAUUAAAAACAACUCCAAAUACAUAUUUAAUAUGUUUAUUUCAAUUUGUAUAUUUCAAUUAUGCAUAGGAUAUUUAUAUAGUAUAUUAAUUUAAAUAUAUUUAUUUAUACAUAUUAUAAAUAUUUUAUUUUAUAUAAAAUAUAUUUUUAUAUAUUUAUAUAAAUAUUAUAUAUUAUAUAAAUUAUAUAUAUUAUAAAUAUGUUAUUAUACAUUUAUAUAAAUGUUAUAUAUUAUAUAUAUUUAAUAUAUACAUAAUAUAUAUUAUAUAUAUUGAACAUUUAUAUAAAUGUACAUUUAAACAUAAUAUAUAUUUAUGUAUAUUUAUAAUAUACAUUUAUAUUAUGUAUUAUAUAUAAUAUAAUACAUUUAUACAUUUAUAUUAAUAUACAUAAUAUUAAUUAUAUAUUUAUACAUAAUAUUAAUAAAUUUAUACAUUUAUAUUUAUUACAUUAAUACAUUAAUACAUAAUAUUAAUAUAUAUUUAUAAUAUAUUAAUUUAUAGAUUUAUAUAAUAUUCAUUUAUAAUUUAUACAUUUAUAAAUAUAUUUAUAUUAUGUAUUAUAUAUAAUAUAAUACACUUAUAAUACAUUUAUAUAUUUAUUUAUAAAUAUAAUAUAUAAUAAAUAAAUAUAAUACGCUUAUUUAUUUAUAUAUAAUAUAUAAAUUUAUUUAUAAAUAUAAUACACUUAUUUAUUUAUACAUAAUAUAUAAAUAUAUUUAUUUAUAAAUAUUUAUAAUUGUAUUAUAAAUGCAUAAAUGUAUAUAAAUAUAAAAACAUAAAAAUUAUAAAUUAUAAUAUACAUUUAUAUAAUAUUCAUUUAUAAUUUAUACAUUUGUACAUUUAUAAAUAUAUUUAUAUUAUGUAUUAUAUAUAAUAUAAUACAUUUAUAUUUUUUUAUAUAAAUAUAUUUAUUUAUAAAUGUAUAAUUGUAUAUUGUUAUAAAAAUUAAAAAUUAUAAAAAUACUCGAAAAUAUGUUUUAAAAAUACAUCUAUAAAUAAUCUAUAAAACAUCUACAGUAAAAGUUUUUUAUAUAAUUUUUGAAAAACAACCCAAAAAACAACUAAUCCAAACGGACUUGUAUUUGAAAAACGAAAUGCUACAGUGCUAUUUUUGAAAAACAAUCCAAAAAACAGCUAAUCCAAACGGACCCUAAGUGUUCCAAGACUAAAUAAAAAUGCGACACGUGGCACUAUUUUGAUUAUUACUUAUCUCGUGAUCUUUUUUCUUAGUUUUUUAUCAAUCAUUUAUGUGGUGCUCCUCUAACUCACUCUUAACACUUCUAGGCAUAUAUUUCUUGGUAUAUAACAUCCGUUCAUGUCCACUAAAUUUAAUAUACACUUACUAGUGAGUCACACUACCAAAAUGUAAUAUAACUAAACACGCACCACAAUAUAAAGUAAACAAUUAAAAUUUAACACAACCAUAAAAAUACCUUAUAAAUUAAAGGAUUUAAACUAGAGUAUGUCAAAAUAUUAUUGAACGCAUGCAAAACGAGAAAAGAAUUUAAAAUUUUUUUUUUCAAAAUUUCAUAAUCUCUCCCCUUAAAAAAAUUUCGUUCUCGAAAUUCUAACCUUCAUAAGAUUUUGGAACGGGUUGUUGAUCCAAAGAGUAUACUCUAGUUGAUGCCCUGGAUCUAUUUCCUCUUUCUUGGUUUGGCUUAGAAGUAAUCAGAUCUCUUUAUUGUUCAUUCAACCUUCUUUGUUGCUUUUUCGGACAAUUGUGAAGUACUUGAUGAUCAGCACUUUCACAUAUCAAGCAUUUCUUUCCCUUUAUCCAGCAUGCAUCCUAAGUAUGAUUUAUUUUUUCACAGUAACCACAAGCUAAUCGAGGAACUUCUAUUGGAUUUUUUAAAGAGACUUCCUCUUGUCGUCCUCUUCCUACCUGACUUUCCAUUGUUGAACUUCUCUCAUAUUAUCCUUGCAUCCAUGGUGGGUAAGAUAGAAGGAUUACUCUUCUAGCUUUGGAAGGUGGUAGGGUGUCCUUAAGUUCCUCAGACUCACUAUUCGGUGCACUUCUUUUUCGUGUUUGAAAUACUUUUACUUGCGCCCUUGCAAUUUCAACCCUUUGAACUUUCUCAAGAACUUUUGUGAACGUAGUGAUUUGAGCCGCCGCAACAGCUUUCUGGAUUUUCACAUUUAAUCCCUGUACAAACUGCCUUACUCUUCUUUGCUCCGGAGUUACUAAUUCAGGGAUAAAUUUAGAUAAUUUAGUGAAUUGAGUUUCAUAUUCUGACACACUCAAGGCUCCUUGACGUAAUCUAAUGAAAUCGUCCUCCCUUUUUUCUUGGACUAAGGGCGGAAGGUAUUUCUCAUUAAAUUCCCAUAUUAAAUGUACCCAAGUUCGCGCUAUUUGUUCCCUCUCCCACUUAGCUCUAAUCACAUUCCACAAAGCACGAGUUGACCCUUCAAAUUGAAAUACCGCAAAAGUCGCCUGUCUCCCCUCUGAAUAAUUUAGCGCGGCAAAAAUAUUAAUCAUUUGUUCUAACCAAUUCUUGGUUGCCUCCGGAUUAGAUCCUCCAAGAAAUUUAGGAGGAGAAAACUUCUGAAAAGACUCUAGGGCCCUAUCCCCUCCCCCCUCAGAUUCUCUGGGUUGGUUAACAGGUGCUUGCCCUUGUUGUUCCACUAAACGCGCCAAAAUAUCGGUCAUUCGUUGUAUGGCUGUUGCUACCUGAUCCCCUGUUUCAGCCUGUGGUUCAUGUUGUUGUUUAGCUGCCACUUCUCUUUCUUCUCUUGGUUCUUGAGCUUGCCUAACCCUACGUCCAUGAUUAACCCCUCGUCCUCGGUUUCUUCGUCCAUCCAUACCUUUUUUUUUAUAAACUAUAUACAUGUAUGAGCAAAAAAAGAUCAGCUAUAUAUAUAGAAUAAGAAUAAAAUAACAUAGGCCAAAAAUGAGAAAUACCCUUAGAAUGCAUAACACAAAAAAUUCACAAGCUAAAUCACAAAAAUAUUGUACAUAUCAUCCUACCAAAAUCAAGUUCACAAAACAUGUCUAGUAUACUAUACAUAUCAGUCCGCAAUAUGGCAAACACAUACAUACAUACAUGCAGAACAAAACAAGAGACAACGAUUUUUCAAUUUCUCCAAGGGUAAAUUCUAAACCCCAAGUUCAUCCGUCAAAGAAAGUUCAAAAGAUCUCUACUAAAGCAAUCGCCCCAAAAAUUAUAUCUAAUUUCUUAUAAAUGCAAAUGAAUAUCAAAACUCUAAAGGAUACCUUAAUGAUCUUUAAAGUCAAAGUCAGUCCCAUAGUUGUUCAAAUAGUAUCGUUGUUCAAGAAACUGAUCCAUUACUCUUCAAAUCAAUCUCACACAAUUCUCUUCUCUUCUCGCUAAUCCAAUAUAAAAACCCUCAAACAUCAAAUCUUGUUAUCCAUCAGGAACAUAACUGCUUAAUAUUGCACUUAAACUUUACAAUACCCCACAGUCCAGCAUUUUAAACUUUAAUCUUAUGAUACACUACAGAGAUCUAAAAUCUAAACUCUGAUACCAACUGUGACGACCUCAUCUCCUCCUAAGGCGAACCAAGGGGUUCAGCGGAAUGCCUGCUGUGGAGACCCCACUUCCCCCUAAGGCGAACCAAAGGGUUGGCGGGCCGUCUGCCCAGCUCUCGCCAGGACUCACGCAAGCAUUCUAGCUUAAAAUCCUCCAGGGAUUAACCUAAACUACUACAAAAAUAAUUCUUCCGAAAUAAAUCAAUUUCUAUCACCUCAUUAGCUUCAGAGAUAACGGCAUACAACUUAGCCAAACGACGGCUCUUAACCACUUCACACGUUACUCGCAAGGUUAAAGACAUACUAUACUAAUAAAAACAUACAAACCGAAUAUUAGAAUUUGGGAUUACAUUUUUCCAGCUUCAAGUGGCAACCAAAAUAAAAGGUACAGUACUUAACGUAGAAUUCAUUACAAACCGAAAUCUAAAUUCAAGCUAUUCAAAUACAUUCAUAGGAAAUAUAAGCAGCUCAAAUUCUUUCAACUUCCAGACCUGUAAGGAAAACAAAUAAUCGUGGGGUGAGCUAAAGCUCAGUGGUGCCCCAAAACAUGCAUUCACAUAAAUCAAACAGCGAGAAAUAACUUAAACAAAUUGAACAGUUAGGAAAGCGUAUAACAACACAAGGUAGGAUACAAGGGCUCUCAGGAGCCAUUUUCCUCGCUUGAUCGCCAUUCAUCGUAGUUGACCCUCCGUCAACUCUCACUACUUAUAGUCCAUGUAGAUCCACUCAUUUUAAUCCUAACCCGUCACCAUUCAUACCCCGGUCUUGGGCCCGAACGUCGACUAAGGACGCAGUAUACUCGAGAUAUACCCGUAGAUAAUUGGUCGAGGGAUUCACCCAACGACUUUUUUUUUUUUUUUUUUUGUAGUUCGAUUCAAGUGCCGAGGGAUUCACCCAACGACGUAACUACUUUUAGAUUCAGGGAUUCACGAGAAAAAUGAUUCACUCAAGUCACCACUCGAACGGCUAGUGCGAUAAAGUACCCACUGCUCACUUCGAUGGAUCAAAAACUCGUUUUGCAAUUUAUCAUAUAUCGAGUCAAGAAAGCACUUAAUUCAGGUAGGAAAAGAACAGGUAGGGACACUCACCAAGAGUGGAGUUCAGAUAUCAGGUUGGGAAUCGAAUUCCGCGUCCUCGCGAUAUCCUAAAAACCAGAUUUUGAAACUAUAAGUUUCUAUUCAGUUUUUAAACUUAUUCGUAUAAGAAUUUAUUUAAUAUAAUAUUAGUUUACUUCCUCAAGAGAUUUUCAAAAAUCUAUUUAGAUUGAAACUUGACAAAAGUAGUAAAAGUGUUCCUUAUUUUUAUCCUUAGAGGUGGGUAACUAGUAUCCUUUUCUUAAAAUAAGUUGACAAAUCUUUAAACAAUAAUGUUAGAAAGUUACUUUGAACAUUCCCUAAAGUUACGGCUUUUGUAAAAAUUAUCCUUAAAAACUAUUUUUCUUAAAAUAGGGUUUCUUGCUGAGCAAGUCUCCCAAGCUUUUCACUAAAAUUGGUAAAGCUCGUAUUUUGGAACUUUUCCUAUAGUUAACUAUUCCAAGUGCAAAGCUUAAAGAAAGAAAAAGAAUUAAAAUAAGACUUAGAGUUUCCAAAAACUAUUUAACUUAUUUACUAUAGCGAUCAAGGCUAAUUUGAGCUAAAGGAAUUUAUCGAGUUGGAAAGUUUUAGGCAAAACACUAAAUAUGGAGUUUUAUAGUAUAAUGCUAGCUGGAAAAUAUUUUUGAUUAAUUUUGAUCACAACUACUCGAGUUCGCAAGGUCGAUAUAACUUCCACAGCUCCGAUUCCUUUUCGAAGACAUAUUAUGGACCAAAAUAUGGCAAAAAUCACAUAGCAAAUUACUAGGGCUUCGUCAAUCAUUAGCCCUAGCUUUAGGCAAUUGAAAUUCUGAAUAAAAUAAAAUGAUCAACCAAGGCUUCAUCAAUCAUUAGCACUUGGUUUCAGCAAACCCAUCAUAAGCAAGUAAAAAUAAAAGUAAAGCCCCAAGACAUUCCAGCAAUUAACUUCCAUCAUUCAGUAGUACUUUAUAAAUUCAUUCCAAUGGCCAAGGGCUUCAUCAAUCAUUAGCCCUGGACAACAUCAAUCACUCCCAACCACAAUUUAGCCAAGAAUUUAAACCACAAGUAAGCUAAAAUCUCAGUCCAAAUCCAACUUUAGUUUCACAAGGAAAUCAGACAUUCAUACCAGGCAAUCUACUUUGAGGAGUCACGAAUAGCAGUAUACAUGGCGGAAAAAUAUAAAAUUUUUACAGAACAAAGGCCCAUGAGUCUAUUUUCAUAUGCCACUGACGGCACCUCAAUCGGAUUUUCCUACACCAAGAUAUAUGCAUUUUGCCUAGACUGGUCAGAAGUUCCGAAAAUCUGGAAGCUCUUGAUCACAUGUGGAAAAGCUCCUUUUUCUCUUUUUAAAACCACAAGGCUUUUAGUCUAACCAUCCAUACGACUCUAGUAGAAUUUUAGCACCACAUUUUCUAGACAAUUUCAACCAUUAUAAAUUCAAAGAAAGUUUCACAAUCAAGCUGGAAUUUUUAACUCAAACUUUGGCGAUCACAAGGAAAAUUUCCAACAGUUGUAUAUCCAUGUUUUUGGUUAAAUCUUUCAAAAUAUCAAAUGACUCAUUGCCAAAUAGCUUUCACAGAUUACAUGUACAUUUUGUCAUGCAUUUCGAGAUCCUAACAUCCCAAGGAAAAAAAUUCCAGGAACCACUUAAAAAAAUUCCAAGUUCAAGUUCACUGCGUUUCACAAAGAAAUUCCAGCAAUAACAAUGGUUCUAAACAGAAUUUUCUUUGGUUAAAACAGAAUUUUUUUUUUGGUACUCUAUUAGGACAUGCAAACACGUAGUUAGCUAGUAAAGGUUUCCAAAUUCAAACUACAAUUACACACAUCUAACACAAAUCCAGAAAUUAUAUCAGCUAGUCUCGAAUGAUCAUUCAUGAACCAAUUUUUCUGCUUUCAUUUUAUUUUCUUGAUUAGCCGAACUACUUGACCCUAUGCAAGCUUUAAUUAACAUGUUGUUAACUAGUUAAUCGUAUAAAUCAACUCAUAUCAUCACCAUAAGACAGAUUGAUAAUUAAAUAUCAAAUUUAAGGUCUCGGAAAUUUUCAGCUCAUAAGAAUUUCCAAUUCAUCAAACCAUAAUUUCUUAGGUUCCUUAAUUCAUCAAUCAACUUCAUAGAAUUAACAUGCAGGGUCCUAGACAUCAUAAACAUUAAGUUCCACUCGGCUAAUUACACUUGAGUGCUCAGGUUAUCACAAGAAAACAUAAUUUCAGUUGCACUUCCAAACCAUUCUCUCGGCAGAAUCAUUCUCAACAAAACAGAAUUUUCUAAGCUCCUUAGUUCAUCAUCCAAUAUUUUCUUCAGUUAAAGCCUUUUAUUUUGCCCUUAAUUCUCACAUGCACAAUUGCUGAGUUAAUUAGCUAACAUCCAGACCAGAAAAUCAGCUCGGCAGCAGCAAAACACAUUCAUAAUUCCAGAAUUUGGUGAGACUACACUCGGAUGAGUUUGCAUGUGAAAAGUCCUGUUUCAUUUUUAUUUCCAAGGUAAUCCAGGCUAAUUAAAUUCAUGCAUGACCCUAAUCAUAAUAAUCAUCCAAGAUUUGAUUAGUUAAUCACCAAAGCAUGCUCAAAUCAUUUCCGGAAAACACAUUAGAGCUGCAAUUCCAACUCAGCUAUUCGGCAGGGACAUUUAACCAAAACAGAAAUUUUUCUAAUAACUUGAUUUCAUCAACCGAUUGUACCACAAUACAUGCAUGCUUCAAGAUAGCUCAAACUACCUCUGAUUAGUCCUAAAAUGAUCCAGAAUUUUACCUCACCGCAAGCUAAUCUUUCACACGAAAAUCUGGAAAAUUUUUCUUCCUCUCGGCUCUCACGCACGCGGCAGUGAUUGUGGUUGUGGUUGUCGGUGGAGCUGGUGGUGUCGCAGCCGUGAAGUUGGGUGCAAUGGAGGUGCAGAAUGUGUGGAGCUUGCUCACGGUUUCUCUCUGCCUUCACUCCAGCUUACGGCCAGAACCAAACAGAAAGAAGAUUGCAGUUCGCGUUCUUCUUUGUCGAUGAUAGCGAGACGGAGAGGGAAUGUGUUUGUGGAGAGGAAAUGAGAUUGUGGCUUGAGAUAUGAAAGGGAGAGAAAGGUGUAUGGUGCCGGUUUAGGAGAAGAGGUUGAGUGUUAGCAAAGAUUGUGUACUGUAGUGGUGAAGAUGCCGGUUGGUCAGCUAAGGUGGUGGUAUGUUGAAGUGGUGAAGGAUGGGGUUGGCCGGCUGGGGUGGUGGCUGAUCAUGCUGUCCGAGGAGUUGUUUGGCUGUGCAUGGAAUGGUUGUGGUGUAGUGGAGGGUAGUUUAGUCUUUUCACUUCUCCUCCUAUUAUUCACUUAAGUCCUUAGUUCUAACUUAGCUCCAAAAAUUAUCCCCAAGUGUGAUUUGAACGCCUAAUGAUUCGCUAAUCUUGCAAAGCUUUGGUUAUCGAAAUUUUAUGUCCUAAAUAUGGUUAGAGUACUUGUAUUGAUUUUAUCUAGAAUUUACCGGUUGCAUAAACAUAUAGAGAUAUCUAGCUACACUUAACCUUAUUCGAAAUUAGAAUUAGCUAUAUAACAAAAUUAAGGAAUUAUUUUCAAGGAGUAAACUUAAUAUAACUCAAGAAUUAUUAACUUAGUGUAGCAAAGCUAAGUGCUUUAAUAGUUAGCACCGUUAUAUUAUUUUGCACACGAAAAUUAUUUUUAUUUACUUGUUUAAAACAAAUGAAAUAGUGUGGUAGAUUGGAAUAAGAACUACGAAUGAAAUAUGCACUAGUAUAUAAAAGCGAGUGAAAGUAAUACUAGAAUAAAGAAUACGAAUGCUAAAUAAAAGUGAAAUUGAAGUAUGCAUUGGUAUUUCUGCAAAAUUCAAGGUUCUCACACCUGCCCAACUCUCGCCAUAACUCGUUCACUCACUUUUCGCUUCAAGAGCAAGUAAAGAUGUGCCAAUCAAACUUAACAUAUAUACAACAAUUAACAUAGAUAUACAAUGAUCAAGGUUAAGUACAAAAGCUCAGGAUCCAACUAACUACUAUUACUAUCACUAUUACACAACAAAAGUUUUAGUCAAAAGUGUAGUCUUUCUCUAAUCACCCGUCCUUGCUCAAGAACCCUGUAAGGAAAACAAAAACUAAAGGAAUGAGCUAAAGUUCGGUUCCCAUGCACAUAUGAAAACAAGGACAUUAUUCAGUUAAUAACAAUCAAUCGAGAAAAUAUUUACAAUAUAAAAACAAUGAGAACACACUCAUUAAAAGGAUACAUGCUCACGAGGAGCCAUUCGUUCAAUCAUUCAUUCAUUCAGCCAGUCAUUCUCUUUCAUUCAAUCGUUCAUUUCUUCUCUUAUAACAUCAACAUUUCCAUUCAUCCAUUUCAUUUCCCGCCACUAGCCAAUUCACUGGCCAGUUCUCCAUCAAAUUUCGUGGUCAUACUCGAGUAUACCAAACAUUAUCCCAGGGUCACCACUCACCCGACCGAAUCCAUUUCUGGCUCGAGUCACUGGCAAUGAAGGGCAAGGGUCCAAUUUUGCCAAUGCGGUACCAUACAACCCGCAUAACUUACAUUCAUGCACAAGUAAUGUUCAAUCAGUUAAUCAUUUGAAAAUUCACUUUCGCUUAGGUCAAGUGCGAUAAAGUACACAUUCGACCAUUAAAAAUCCAUUUAAUAGUCAUUGGAAGGUAUUUAACACUCAAUCGAAGAUUCGCAACAAGUACAUGGUCAUUUAACACACAAACAUGCAAGAAACACUCACCCUAAACAAGUCGCGUUUUAUCAAAAUUCAGUUCAGGGCCAGCACUUUGGCCACUCUAGAAAUUUACAGUCAAAUAUUGUCCACAAAGAGCAAAUCAUACACCAGUGCAAACUGCAUAACUUAUAUUUCUAUAUCAAAAGAAAAAGGCAUGAAAAGUAUAAUGAGUCAUAUAGGCAAGGUGCACGCAUAAUUUGUAAAAGAAAAUAAAAAAAAACGGUUAAUUUCAAAACCAAUAUGAGCAACUAAAAGCAAUAUUUUGAAUACUUGUUUAGAAUGUUAGAAAUCAGGUUUAGAACACUUGAGAAGUACAUGUUAAGACGGACGAAGGAAACGGAAAACAAGAGAAAGGCAACGAGAAACAAUGAAGAUGACAGCUUUGCCAUCCUUUGGUUUUUUGAACACCACUGAAGCUACACUUAUCGGAUCGAGACAAAUUUUAUGACGUUUCGAAACUAAGACCUAGACCUACAUUUUCUAUGAAGAUAUCGACACUCAAUUCUCACAUUUUUAGGGUAAAAAAUGGACAGUCAGAAGUACAUGAAAAAUAGGUCAGAAAAAUUAGAGUUUGUGCGCAGUCAGGAGUGCUAUGGCCAAAUUAUAAGCUAAAAUAAUCCAAUUGAUCUGAAAUUUUGCAGGUAAAAAUUUAACUCAAAUCCCUAUAAUUUUCAUGUUUUGUCCAAAAGUUGAUCCAAUCUAAAACAUGGAGAAAUUCGUAGCCCAAAUUGAUUCCAAAAACAGGGUAGAACUGAAAUUCACCAAAUUGUUUAGUUUUCUUCCAAGUUUCAACUCCCAACUCAAACCCAAUCAAGAUUACAUCACUACGCUACCUCUUGUUAACUUAACCCUGGAUACAAAAGUUUCGGCAGCACCUCUCCUAUUUUCGAUCCUUUUCCCCUUGAAAAUCAAGAUGUAAACCACAGCAAUCCCAACACAAUCAAAGCCACAAGAUGUUACAAGCCUUAUUCUAGUCUAUCAAAACCCUUCAAAAUUCACACAAAUAGAGAUUAAUCGAAAGACAUCAAAGCUGAAAUUUCCCAAUUCAAGUAAAAAAAUCACUUAUUGAAGUUGUAAACAUGCAUAUCAAAGUUCAAUCACCUUCUAAUACGAUUGGACAACCUAUAUCAAAAUUACAAACUUGAAAAAAAUUGAAAUUUCACUUCUUAAGGUAAAUUUUGCAUAUAACCAUCACUAAUUGUGAUUAAAAGCUUGAAAUUCCACCUUAACACUAAACUAACUUCUACUAAUCAUAUACGGGAAAGUGCUGGUUUUCAUCCCCAAACUUUGGGGUAAGUACACAUUUCGUCCCUCAACUUUUGGACACGACACAUUUGAUGUCUGAAUUAAUAAUUUUUUACCAAUGUCAUCCUCAAACGGCAAUUUAGCCAAUUUUUAACGGAACUGGUCACGUGAAAAUCACAUGACCGUUAAGUAAACUUAAAUCACAUUUUUAACAAAACCUACCAGUUUUUCAUAAAGAGCUAGUAUGUUAUGGGCAAUUUAUUAUUUUUUUUAAAUUUCACAUAUUUAAUUUAUGUUAAAUACAAAACAUACUAGUUUUCUUUUGAGCGCUAUUUAACCAAUUUUUCCUAUAAAAAGUUGGUAUGUUUUCCAUAAAGAGCUGGUACAAAACAUACUACAAAACCUGCCAGUUUCCCAUAAAGAACUGGUAUGUUAUGAGCAAUUUAUUAUUAUUUUUUUAACUUUCACAUAUUUAAUUUAUGUUAAAUACAAAACAUACUAGUUUUCCUUUGAGCGCUAUUUAACCAAUUUUUCCUAUAAUGAUCUGGUAUGUUUCUCAUAAAGAUUUGGUACAAAACAUACUACAAAACCUGCCAGUUUCCCAUAAAGAGCUGGUAUGUUAUGGCAAUUAAUUUUUUUUAAUUUUCACAUAUUUAAUUUAUGUUAAAUACAAAACAUACUAGUUUUCUUUUGGACGCUAUUUAAUCAAUUUUUCCUAUAAAGAGUUAGUAUGUUUCUCAUAAAGAACUGGUACAAAAUAUACUACAAAAUUUGCCAGUUUUCCAUAAAGAACUGGUAUGUUAUGGGCAAUUUAUUAUUCUUUCUAACUUUCACAUAUUUAAUUUAUAUUAAAUACAAAACAUACUAGUUCAAUGGGUAAAAAUAUGUUAUGAAUCACUCAAAGUUUAUACUUUUAAUAGUUCAAUGGGUAAAAAUAUGUUAUGAAUAAUUGAAGGGCCAAAUUUUUACUAUUCAAAUAGUUCAAUGGCUGUUCAAAUAAUUUGCUCUUAUAUAAAUAGUAAAAGUAUGCAAAGUAUAUGUAAUUUUUAAAUUUUGAGAGGAGCUUUUUGUAACUAUUAAAAUCUCAAGGGAUGUUUGUGAAAUUAUCCCUUUUCAUUUUUCAUACUAAUUAUUUCUUUUCUUGCCAAUUUUUCAUUUUAUCCUUAUUUUUAACUUUUUCCCCCCUUACGUACGGGACGCAAGUGUUUAUUGAUGGAUGCUUAGUUAAAAUUGCCAAAAGUUGACUGAUUGCAUGCAGGAAACUGGCAGGUUUUGUUAAAAAUGUGAUUUAAGUUUACUUAACGGUCAUGUGAUUUUCACGUGACCAAUUUCGUUAAAAAUUGGCUAAAUUGCCUUUUGAGAAUGACAUUGGUAAAAAAUUCUUAAUUUAGACAUCAAAUGUGUCGUGCCCAAAUAUUGAGGGACGAAAUGUGUCCUUACCCUAAAGUUUGAGGAUAAAAAUAGGCAUUUUUUCAAUCAUAUACAUGCCAAAUCAAAGAUGAAAUAACUUAUAUAAAAUCUGAAAAAUAUCAAUAAAACUGAAAUUUAUCAUCCCAACCCUAAAAUCGGAAGAAUCUCUAAAAAAUCAAUCAAAAUCAAGUUAUCCAACAACUUAAUCACAAGAUUAAAGAACAAAAGGAGCUUCUAAUGAUUAUACCUUCCAACACCUUGAAAACAAGCAAAACAAACCCUUUUCCUCUCAAAACACUCCACCUUUAGUUUGCUAUCACCUUAGAUGCAAAGUUAAUCGGAGUAGAUUUUGACAAUUGGAAGAAAUCUCUCAAGAUUUGGUGAAGGAAAUCAAAGGAAAAAUGAACUUAACUUGCUUAGUUUUACUCCACUUGAGGUUCUGCCAGCUUGGAGAAAAAAGAUUGAAGAGUUUUUGUGCUCCAAAUGAAGUGAUAAAGAUGAAGACUUAAGUGUUCUAAGACUAAAUAAAAAUGCGCCACGUGGCAGUAUUUUGACUAUUACUUAUCAGCACUUCCACAUAUCAAACAUUUUUUUCACUUUACCCAACAUGCAUCUUAAGUAUGAUUUAUUUUUUCACAGUAAACACAAGAUAAUCGAGGAGCUUCUAUUGGAUUCUUUAGAGAGACUUCCUCUUGUCGUCCUCUUCCUACCUCACUUUCCCUUGUUGAACUUCUCUCAUAUUGUCCUUGCAUCCAUGGUGGGUAAGAUGGACGGAUUACUCUUCUAGCUUUGGAAGAUGGUAGGAUGUCCUUAAGUUCCUCAGACUCACUACUCGGCGCACUUCUUUUUCGUGUUUGAAAUGCUUUUACUUGCGUCCUUGCAAUUUCAACCCUUUGAGCUUUCUCAAGAACUUCUAUGAAUGUAGUGAUUUGAGCUGCCGCAAGAGUUUUCGGGAUUUUCACAUUUAAUCCCUGUACAAGCCUUACUCUUCUUUGCCCCGUAGUUACUAAUUCAGUGGUAAAUUUAGAUAAUUUAGUGAAUUGAGUUUCAUAUUCUGACACACUCAAGGCUCCUUGACGUAAUCUAAUGAAAUCGUCCUCCCUUUUUUCUUGGACUAAGGGCAGAAGGUAUUUCUCAUUAAAUUUCCAUACGAAAUUUACCCAAGUCCACGCUAUUUGUUCCCUCUCUCACUUAUCUCUAAUCACGUUCCACAAAGCACGAGUUGACACUUCAAAUUGAAAUACCGCAAAAGUUGUCUGUCACUCCUCUGAAUAAUUUAUCGCGGCAAAAAUAUUAAUCAUUUGUUCUAACCAACUCUCGGCUGUCUCCGGAUUAGAUCCUCCAAGAAAUUUAGGAGGAGAAAACUUCUGAAAAUACUCUAAGGCCCUAUCCCCUCCCCACUCAGGUUCCCUGGGUUGGUUAACAGGUGCUUGCCCUUGUUGUUCCAUUAAACGAGCCGAAAUAUCGGUCAUUCGUUGUAUGGCUGUUGUUACCUGAUCCCCUGUUUCGGCCUGUGGUUCAUGUUGUUGUUUAGCUGCCGUUUCUCUUUCUUCUCUUGGUUCUUGAGCUUGCCUAACCCUACGUCCACGAUUAACCCCUCGUCCCCGGUUUUUUCGUCCAUCCAUACCUUUUUUUUUUUUAUAAACUAUAUACGUGUAUGAGCAAAAAUAGAUCAGCUAUAUAUAUAGAAUAAGAAUAAAAUAACAUAGGUAAAAAUGAGAAAUACCCUUAGAAUAUAUAACACAACAAAUUCACAAGCUAAAUCACAAAAAUAUUGUACAUAUCAUCCUACCAAAAUCAAGUUCACAAAACAUGUCUAGCACACUAUACAUAGCAGUCCGCAAUACGGCAAACACAUACAUACAUACAUGCAGAACAAAACAAGAGACAACGAUUUUUCAAUUUCUCCAAGGGUAAAUUCUAAACCCCAAGUUCAUCCGUCAAAGAAAGUUCAAAAGAUCUCUACUAAAGCAAUCGCCCCAAAAAUUAUAUCUAAUUUCUUAUAAAUGCAAAUGAAUGUCAAAACUCUAAAGGAUACCUUAAUGAUCUUUAAAGUCAAAGUCAGUCCCAUAGUUGUUCAAAUAGUAUCGUUGUUCAAGAAACUGAUCCAUUACUCUUCAAAUCAAUCUCACACAAUUCUCUUCUCUUCUCGCUAAUCCAAUAUAAAAACCCUCAAAUAUAAAAUCUUGUUAUCCAUCAGGAACAUAACUGCUUAAUAUUGCACUUAAACUUUACAAUACCCCACAGUCCAGCAUUUUAAACUUUAACCUUAUGAUACACUACAGAGAUCUAAAAUCUAAACUCUGAUACCAACUGUGACGACCUCAUCUCCCCCUAAGGCGAACCAAGGGGUUCAGCGGAAUGCCUGCCCAACUCUCGCCAUAACUCGUUCACUCACUUUUCGCUUCAAGAGCAAGUAAAGAUGUGCCAAUCAAACUUAACAUAUAUACAACAAUUAACAUAGAUAUACAAUGAUCAAGGUUAAGUACAAAAGCUCAGGAUCCAACUAACUACUAAUACUAUCACUAUUACACAACAAAAGUUUUAGUCAAAAGUGUAGUCUUUCUCUAAUCACCCGUCCUUGCUCAAGAACCCUGUAAGGAAAACAAAAACUAAAGGAAUGAGCUAAAGUUCGGUUCCCAUGCACAUAUGAAAACAAGGACAUUAUUCAGUUAAUAACAAUCAAUCGAGAAAAUAUUUACAAUAUAAAAACAAUGAGAACACACUCAUUAAAAGGAUACAUGCUCACGAGGAGCCAUUCGUUCAAUCAUUCAUUCAUUCAGCCAGUCAUUCUCUUUCAUUCAAUCGUUCAUUUCUUCUCUUAUAACAUCAACAUUUCCAUUCAUCCAUUUCAUUUCCCGCCACUAGCCAAUUCACUGGCCAGUUCUCCAUCAAAUUUCGUGGUCAUACUCGAGUAUACCAAACAUUAUCCCAGGGUCACCACUCACCCGACCGAAUCCAUUUCUGGCUCGAGUCACUGGCAAUGAAGGGCAAGGGUCCAAUUUUGCCAAUGCGGUACCAUACAACCCGCAUAACUUACAUUCAUGCACAAGUAAUGUUCAAUCAGUUAAUCAUUUGAAAAUUCACUUUCGCUUAGGUCAAGUGCGAUAAAGUACACAUUCGACCAUUAAAAAUCCAUUUAAUAGUCAUUGGAAGGUAUUUAACACUCAAUCGAAGAUUCGCAACAAGUACAUGGUCAUUUAACACACAAACAUGCAAGAAACACUCACCCUAAACAAGUCGCGUUUUAUCAAAAUUCAGUUCAGGGCCAGCACUUUGGCCACUCUAGAAAUUUACAGUCAAAUAUUGUCCACAAAGAGCAAAUCAUACACCAGUGCAAACUGCAUAACUUAUAUUUCUAUAUCAAAAGAAAAAGGCGUGAAAAGUAUAAUGAGUCAUAUAGGUAAGGUGCACGCAUAAUUUGUAAAAGAAAAUGAUAAAAAACGGUUAAAUUCAAAACCAAUAUGUGCAACUAAAAGCCAUAUUUUGAAUACUUGUUUAGAAUGUUAGAAAUCAGGUUUAGAACACUUGAGAAGUACAUGUUAAGACGGACCAAGAAAACGAAAUGCAAGAGAAAGGCAACGAGAAACAAUGAAGAUGACAGCUUUGCCAUCCUUUGAUUUUUUUUAUCACAACUGAAGCUACACUUAUCGGAUCGAAGCAAAUUUUAUGAUGUUUCGAAACUAAGACCUAGACCUACACUUUCUAUGAAGAUAUCGACACUCAGUUCUCUCAUUUUCAGGGUAAAAAAUGGACGGUCAGAAGCAUAUGAAAAACAGGUCAGGAAAAUUAGAGUUUUUGCGCAGUCAGGAGUACUAUGGCCAAAUCAUAAGCUAAAAUAAUCCAAUUGAUCUGAAAUUUUGCAGGUAAAAAGUUAACUCAAAUUCCUAUAAUUUUCAUGUUUUGUCCAAAAGCUGAUUCAAUAUAAAACAUGGAGAAAUUCGCAACCCAAAUUGAUUCAAAAAAUAAGGCAGAACUGACAUUCACCAAAUUAUCUAGUUUUCUUCCAAGUUUCAACUCCCAACUCAAAUCCAAUCAAGAGUACAUCAUUACGGUACCUCUUGCUAACUUAACCCUAGAUACAAAAGUUUCUGCAGCACCUCUCCUAUUUUCGGUCCUUUUCUCCUUGAAAAUCAAGGUGUAAACCACAGCAAUUCCAAUACCAUCAAAGCCACAAGUCAUAGGAUAUUACAAGCCUUAUUCUAGUCUAUCAAAACCCAUCAAAAUUCACACAAAUGGAGAUUAACCGAAAGCCAUCAAAGCUGAAAUUUCCCAAUUCAAGUAAGAAAAUCACUUAUUGAAGUUGUAAACAUGCAUAUCAAAACUCAACUACCUUCUAAUAUGAUUGAAUAACCUAUAUCAAAAUUACAAACUUAACAAAAGCUGAAAUUUCACUUCUUAAGGUAAACUUUGCAUAUAAUCAUCACUAAUUGCGAUUAAAAACUAGAAAUUCCACAUUAACACUAAACCUGUUUCUACUAAUCAUAUACAUGCCAAAUCAAAGAUGAAAUAACUUAUAUAAAAUCUGUAAAAUAUCAAUAAAACUGAAAUUUAUCAUCCUAACCGUAAAAUCGCAAGAAUCUCUAAAAAAUCAAUCAAAAUCAAGUUGUCCAACAACUUAAUCACAAGAUUAAAGAACAAAAGGAGUUUUUAAUGAUUAUACCUUCCAACACCUUGAAAACAAGCAAAACAAACCCUUUGCUUCUCAAAACACUUCACCCUUAGCUUGCUAUCACCUUAGAUGCAAAGUCAAUUGGAAUAGAUUUUGACAAUUGGAAGAAAUCUCUCAAGAUUUGGUGAAGGAAAUCAAAGGAAAAAUGGACUUAACUUACUUGGUUUUACUCCUCUUGAGGUUCGGCCAACUUGGAGAAGAAAGAAUGAAAAGUUUUUGUGCUCCAAAUGAAGUGAUAAAGAUGAAGACUUAAGUGUUGCAAGACUAAAUAAAAAUGCGACACGUGGCACUACUUUGACUAUUACUUAUCUCGUGAUCUUUCUUCUUAGUUUUAAAUCACUCAUCUAUGUAGUGUUCCUCUAACUCACUCUUAACACUUCUAGGCAUAUAUUCCUUGGCAUAUAACAUCCGUUCAUGUCCACUAAAUUUAAUAUACACUUACUAGUGAGUCACACUACCAAAAUGUAAUAUAACUAAACACGCACCACAAUAUAAAGCAAACAAUUAAAAUUUAACUCGACUAUAAAAAUAUCUUAUAAAUUAAAGGAUUUAAACUAGAGUAGGUCAAAAUAUUAUUGAAUGCAUGCAAAACGAGAAAAUAAUUUAAAUUUUUUUUUUCAAAAUUUCACAAUCUCUCCCCUUAAAAGAAUUUCGUCCUCGAAAUUCUAACCUUCAUAAGAUUUUGGAAUGGGUUGUUGAUCCAAAGAGUAUACCCUAGCUAAUGCCCUGGAUCUGUUUCCUUUUUCUUGGUUCGGUCUAGAAGUAAUCGGAUCCCUUUGUUGCAUAUUCAACCCUCUUUGUUGCUUUUUCGGAUAAUUGUGAAGUUGAUGAUCAAUACUUCCACAUAUCAAGCAUUUCUUUCCCUUUACCCAGCAUGCAUCAUAAGUAUGAUUUGUUUUUCCACAGUAACCACAAGCUAAUCGAGGAGUUUCUAUUGGAUUCUUUAGAGAGACUUCCUCUUGCCGUCCUCUUCCUGCUUGACUUUUUCUUGUCGAACUUCCCUCAUAUUGUUCUUGCAUCCAUGGUGGGUAAGGUGGAAGGUUUACUCUUCUAGUUUUGGAAGACAGUACAGUGUCCUUAAGUUCUUCAGACUUAUUACUUGGCGCAUUUCUUUUUCAUACUUGGAAUGCUUUUACUUGCACCCUUACAAUUUCAACCCUUUGGACUUUCUCAAGAACUUCUGUUAAUGUAGUGAUUUGAGCCACCACAAGAGUUUUCUGGAUUUUCACAUUUAAUCCCUAUACAAACCGCCUUACUCUUCUUUGUUCCGUAGUUACUAAUUUAGGGGCAAAUUUAGAUAAUUUAGUGAAUUGAUUUUCAUAUUCUGACAUACUCAAGGCUCCUUGAUGUAAUCUAAUGAAAUCACUCUCCUUUUCUCUUGGACUGAGGGCGGAAGGUAUUUCUCAUUAAAUUUUCGUAAGAAAUUUACUCAAGUCCGCGCUAUCUGUUCCUUCUCCCACUGAUCUCUAAUCACGUUCCAUCAAGAACGAGCCGACCCUUCAAAUUGAAAUACUGCAAAAGUCACCUGUCUCUCCUCUGAAUAAUUUAACGCUGCAAAAAUAUUAAUCAUUUGUUCUAACCACCGCUUGGCUGCCUCCGGAUUAGAUCCUCCGAGAAUUUAGGAGGAGAAAACUUCUGAAAACACUCUAGGGCCCUAUCCUCUCCUCCCUCAGGCUCCCUGUUUGGUUAACACGUGCUUGCUCUUGUUGUUCUACUAAACAUGCCAAAAUAUCGGUCAUUCGUUGUAUGGCUGUCGUUACCUGAUCCCCUACUUCGACCUGUGGUUUAUGUUGUUGUUUAGCUGCCGCUUCUCUUUCGUCUCUUGGUUCUUGAGUUUGUCUAACUCCACGUCCACGAUUAAUCCCUCGUCCUCGGCUUCUUCGUCCCUCCAUACCUUUUUUUUAUAAAUUAUAUAUGUGUAUGAGCAAAAAUAGAUCGGCUAUAUAUAUAGAAUAAGAAGAAAACAACAUAGGCCAAAAAUGAGAAACACUCUUAGAAUAUAUAACACAACAAAUUCACAAGAUAAAUCACAAAAAUAUUGUACAUAUCAUCCUAGCAAAAUCAAGUUCACAAAACAUGUCUAAUACACUAUACAUAUCAGUCCGCAAUACGGCAAACAUAUACAUACAUACAUGCAGAACAAAACAAGAGACAACGAUUUUUCAAUUUCUCCAAGGGUAGAUUCUAAACCCCAAGUUCAUCCGUCAAAAAAAGUUCAAAAAAUCCCUACUUAAGCAAUCACUCCAAGAAUUAUAUCUAGUUUCUUACAAAUGCAAAUGAAUGUCAAAACUCUAAAGGAUACCUUAAUGAUCUUCCAAAGUCAAAGUCAGUCCCAUAGUUGUUCAACUAGUAUCAUUGUUCAAGAAAUUGACUCAUUACUCUUCAAAUCAAUCUCACACAAUUCUCUUUUCUUCUCGCUAAUCCAAUAUAAAAACCCUCAAACAUCAAAUCUUACUAUCCAUCAGAAACAUAGCUGCUUAAUAUUGCACUUAAACUUCACAAUACCCACAGUUCGGCAUCCUAAAUUUUAAAUCUAGAAUACAUUACAGAGAUCUAAAACCUAAACUCUGAUACCAACUGUGACAACCCCACCUCCCUCUAAGGCAAAUUAAGGGGUUCAGCAGACCGCCUGCCUAACUCUCGCCAGGACUCGUUCACUCACUUAUCGCUUCAAGAGCAAGUAAAGAUGUGCCAAUCAAACUUAACAUAUAUACAAUCAUUAACACAGAUAUACAAUCCUCAAGGUUAAGUACAAAAGCUCAAGAUCCAACCAACUACUAAUACUAUCACUAUUACACAACAAAAGUUAUAGUCAAAAGUUUAGUCUUUCUCUAAUCACCCGUUCACGCUCAAGAAUCCUGUAAGGAAAAUAAAAACUAAAGGAAUGAGGUAAAACUCAGUGAGGUUCCCAUGCACAUAAUCAAGCAAUUGAAACAAGGACAUUACUCAGCUAACAACAAUCAUUCGAGAUAACAUUCACAAUAUAAAAACAAUGAGAACACACUCAUUAAAAUGAUACAUGCUCACGUGGAGCCAUUCGUUCAAUCAAUCAUUCAUUCAGCCAGUCAUUCUCCUUCACUCAAUCAUUCAUUUCUUCCCUUAUAAUUUUAACAUUUCCAUUCAUUCAUUUCAUUUCCCGCCACUAGCCAAUUCACUGGCUAGUUCUCCACCAAAUUUCGUGGUCAUACUCGAGUAUAUCAAACAUUAUCUCAGGGCCACCAAUCGCCUGACCGAGUUUAUUUCUAACUCGAGUCGACUGACAACAAAUGGCAAGGGCCCAAUUUAGCCAAUACGGUACCAUACAACCCACAUAGCUUACAUUCAUGCACAAGUAAUGCUCAAUCAGUUAAUCAUUUGAAAAUUCACUUUUGCUUAAGUCAAGUGCGAUAAAAUACACACUCGACCAUUGAAAAUCCAUUUAACAGUCAUUGAAAGGCAUUUAACACUCAAUCGAAAAUUCACAAUAAGUACACAGUCAUUUAAUAUACAAACAUGAAUGAAACACUUACCCUAAACAUGUCACGUUUUAUCAAAAUUCAAUUCAAGGCCGGCACCUUGGCUACUCUCGAAAUCUGCAGUCAAAUUUGUCCACAAAGAGCCAAUCAUACACGAGUGCAAGCUACAUAACUUAUAUUUCUAUAUCAAAGGAAAAAGCCAUGAAAAUUAUAGUAAGUCAUAUAGGCAAGGUACACGCAUAAUUUAUAAAAGAAAAUGAUAAAAAACGGUUAAGUUCAAAACUAAUAUGUGCAACUAAAAAUCAUGUUUCGAAUACUUGUUUAGAAUGUUAGAAAUUAGGCUCAGAACACAUGAGAAGUACAUGUUAAGUCGGACCAAGAAAACGAAAAACAAGAGAAAGGGAAUGAGAAACAAGAUGGCAGCUUUGCCAUCCUUUGGUAUUUUUAUGACAACUGAAGCAACACUUACCGAAUCGAGGUAAAUUUUAUGGCGUUUCGAAACUAAUACCUAGAUCUAUAUUUCCUAUGAAAACAUUAUCACCCAGUUCUCGCAUUUUUGGGGUAAAAAAUGGAUGGUUAGAAGCACAUAAAAAAUAGGUCAGGAAAAUUAGAGUUUUUGUGUAGUAAGGAGUGCUCUGGCCAAAUCAUAAGCUAAAAUGAUCCAAUUGAUUUGAAAUUUUGCAGGUAGAAAGUUAACUCAAAUCCCUAUAACUUUCAUGUUUUGUCCAAAAGCUGAUUCAGUCUAAAACAUGGAGAAAUUAGCAGCCCAAGUUGAUUCCAAAAACAUGGCAGAACUGAAAUUCACCAAAUUGUCUAAUUUUCUUCCAAGUUUCAACUCCCAACUCAAACCCAAUCAAGAUUACAUCACUACGCUACCUCUUGUUAACUUAACCCUAGAUAGGAAAGUUUCGGCAGUACCUCCCCCAUUUUCGAUCCUUUUUUCCUUGAAAAUCAAGGUAUAAACCACAGCAAUCCCAACACAAUCAAAGCCACAAGUCAUAAGAUAUUACAAGCCUUAUUCUAGUCUAUCAAAGCCCUUCAAAAUUCACACAAAUAGAGAUUAACCGAAAGACAUCAAAGCUGAAAUUUCCCAAUUCAAGUAAGAAAAUCACUUAUUGAAGUUGUAAACAUUCAUAUCAAAGCUCAACCACCUUCUAAUAUGAUUGGACAACAUAUAUCAAAAUUAAAAACUUAACAAAGGCUGAAAUUUCACUUCUUAAGCUAAAUUUUGCAUAUAACCAUCACUAAUUGCUAUUAAAAGCUAGAAAUUCCACCUUAACACUAAACUAGCUUCUACUAAUCAUAUACAUGCCAAAUCAAAGAUGAAAUAACUUAUAUAAAAUCUGAAAAAUAUCAAUAAAACUGAAAUUUAUCAUCCCAACCCUAAAAUCGCAAGAAUCUCCAUAAAAUCAAUCAAAAUCAAGUUAUCCAACAACUUAAUCACAAGAUUAAAGAACAAAAGAAGCUUCUAGUGAUUAUACCUUCCUACACUUUGAAAACAAGUAAAACAAACCCUUUUCUUCUCAAAACACUCCACCUUUAGCUUGCUAUCACCUUAGAUGCAAGGUUAAUCGGAGUAGAUUUUGGCAAUUGAAAGAAAUCUCUCAAGAUUUGGUGAAGGAAAUCAAAGGAAAAAUGGACUUAACUUGCUUAGUUUUACUCCUCUUGAGGUUCGGCCAGCUUGGAGAAGAAAGAAUGAAGAGUUUGUGUGCUCCAAAUGAAGUGAUAAAGUUGAAGACUUAAGUGUUCCAAGACUAAAUGAAAACGCGACAUGUGGCACUACUUUGACUAUUACUUAUCUCUUGAUCUUUCUUCUUAGUUUCUAAUCACUCAUCUAUGUGGUGUUCCUCUAACUCGCUCUUAACACUUCUAGGCAUAUAUUCCUUGGUAUAUAACAUCCGUUCAUGUUCACUAAAUUUAAUACACACUUACUAGUAGGGAUGUACGCGAGCCGAGUCAUAAUCGAGUAGCUCGCGAGUAGCUCGGUCAACGGCUUGGCUUGAACUCGGGUUGACCGAGUUCGAGCCGAGUCUCGAGCUACUCGAUUGUCAUUCGAGUCGAUUUUCGAGCCAAUAUUUUGAGGCUCGAGACUUGUCGAGCUACUCGUCGAGUCGGGGGUAUUUAAAUAAUAUAUUUAUAAUUUAAAUAAUAUAUACGUAUUAUAAUUAUAAAAUGACCAUUAUGGGUAUAAGUUUUACGGAAUUUACAAUAAAAUCUUCUUUAUAAUAAAAUUUCAUAAUGGCAAAAAAGUAAUAACAUAAUUGUAAAAAGACCUAAAAAGAAAAAAUGUCUAAAAAAGGGAAGAAAAGACGAAAGUGUGUCAAAAAGCUUGAUUAGGCUCGACUUGAUAAGGUUUGACUAAAGGUCGAGCCUUAUUGAGUCGAGUCUCGAGGUUAAAACGAGUUUCUCGAGUCAAAUUUCGAGUAUCGAUUUUUUGUACUGGGUCGAGCUCGAGUCGAGCUCGAGCCUAGGUAUAUAUGAGUCGAGUCGAGCUCGAGUAUAGCAAUACUCGAGCUUGAUUUGACUCGAUUACAUCCCUACUUACUAGUGAGCCACACUACCAAAAUGUAAUAUAACUAAACACGCACCACAAUAUAAAACAAACAAUUAAAAUUUAACUCUACCAUAAAAAUACCUUAUAAAUUAAGGGAUUUAAACUAGAGUAGGUAAAAAUAUUAUUUAACGCAUGCAAAACGAGAAAAUAAUUUAAAUUUUUUUUUCAAAAUCUCACAGCUUUGAAGCGAUCCAUCUCUCCUGUUGGCUUAUAUUUGGUCUUAUAUACCCAUUUCACUCCAAUUGGCUUCCUUUCAGGUGGGAUAGUGGUCAAUUCUUGUGUAUCAUUUUUCGCAAUGGCAUGAAUUUCUUCAUCCAUUGCACGAACCCAAUGAUCAUCUUUGGCAGCUAUGAGAUAGGCUCACAAUCUGCAAAAAGAGAAAAAUUCACAAUCUCUUCAUCAGUUAAAUCAUUAUCUUUACCAACAGCAUAAUCAUCAAAUCGGGCUAGCAUGUGGCGUUCUCUCUAUGGUCGACUGGAUGUCUCAACCUGAAUAGUGGAAGGUGAGGGAUCACCAUGAGGCUGCACAACUUGCUCCACUGCUUGCUUAUUAGCACUCGGUCCUAUAAUGGGAGAAAUGGAUGGAUACUUUGGCGAUACUUCAGGGUCUUGUUUGGACCAAUCCCAAACUCCAUGUUCAUCAAAAGUCACAUCUCUGCUAACAAUCACCUUUCCUGUGUUUGGAUUGAAUAACUUAUAUCCCUUAGUCUCAUGACUAUAUCCAAUAAAAAUACACUUCUCUGCUUUGUCAUCCAAUUUCUUCCUGAAAUGAUCUGGAACAUGCGCAUAUGCAAGACAACAAAAUACCCUGAAAUGAGAAAUAUCCAGUUUCAUACCAAUCCAAACUUCUUGUGGGGUCUUCCCAAAGUUGCAUCUAGCAGGGCACUUGUUCAAAACAUAAAUAGCACAAGAUACUGCUUCUGCCCAAAAGGAUUUAGGAAUACCUUUGGAGUGCAGCAUAGACCUCACCAUGUCCAUCACAGUCCUAUUCUUCCUUUUAGUCACACCAUUUUGUUAAGGUGUAUAUCUGGCUUUCAAUUGAUGUUUUAUGCCACUUUCCACCAAAUAGUCAUCACAAAAAAGAUACUCAGUGCCUCUGUUAGUUCUCAAAGUUUUAAUAAAAUAGCCACUCUGCUUCUCUACAUAAUAUUUGAAUUUUUUAAACACAUCACAUGCAUCAUAUUUAUUUCUUAAAAAAAUACACUCAUGUCUUCCUGCUGAAAUCAUCAAUGAAGGUAAUAAAAUAUUUACUACCACCAUUGGAAGGAACUUCAACUGAGCAUAAAUCUAAAUGAAUCAAUUCAAGUGGUCGAUUAGCCCUCCAAGCCUUGCCUUUUGGAAAAGGAUCACUGUGCUUCUUUUUCAAAAUACAAGACUCACACUUGUUGUCAGGAAACUCAAUAGAAGGCUACUCAAUAACUAAUUUCUUUUUUUCAAGAAAUUUCAAACUCCCAAAAUUCAAAUGCCCAAAAUGCAUAUGCCAUAACUAAGAAUUAUCACAAGUCACGGAAUUAAAGCAAGGUAAAUCAUCACAGUUAAGGGAAAGAGGCCACAGACGACUACGAUUCAUCUUUAUCUUGGCAAUUAAUCCCAAUUUUCCAUCACUUAUGGUGCCCUCACCAUAUUUAAAAUGAGGAUCAUAACCUUUCUCAAAUAAUUGUCCCAAACUCAACAAAUUAUGAUAUAAACUUGGCACAUAGAAAAUAUCAGAAAUAAAAUUCGAAGACCUAUCUUGCAAGAUAAUUCUGAUUUUUCCUUUUCCAAGAACAUGCACUUUUUCAUUGUUUCCAAAUCUCACAGAUACAUGAAAAGAUUCAUCUAGGUCAGAAAACAUCUCCUUUUUACCGCACAUAUGAUUACUACAACCAGAAUCAAUAAACCAAUCAUUCUUCAUAGACUCUUCAGAUGUAGAACUAGAAAACAACAAGGUCUCCUCUCUAUCACUACAAUUUUCAGCCACUUUAGCAUGCACCUCUUUAUUGGACCAACAUUCAUUCUGAUAAUGACCAAUUUUAUCACAAUUAUAAUAUUGGACAUUAGAUCUAUCACGCCUUUGAAAAUUAUUUCUUUGACUUUACUGUUGAUUGUUUUCCUGAUCCCUAUUAGAAUUAUUUCUGGGUUGGUGAGAAUAAUUACCUCUUCCACGACCACGAAAGUUACCUCUACCUCCAUGCCCUCUACCUCUGAAGUUCUGGCCCUUUUGAUUUGUGUCCAUGUGAUUUACCUCCUCUUUUCCUUUUGGGUGAUCCACCUUGGCUUGUAACACCUCUUCUACUAUAUCCGAUGGCUGCUGAUUCAGGGACAUCUCAUACGUCAGCAAUUCACCUUCCAAUUCAGCAAGUGGCUAAUUGUUAAGGUCCUUUGUGGCUUCAAGGACUGUCUUCUUGGUGUGAAAUUUAGCAGCUAGAGAUCUCAAAACUUUUUCAACAACUCUAACCUCUUCCAAAUUCUCACUAUUGGACUCCAUAUCAUUGACAAUUUCUUUAAUUGUACCAAUGAAAUCUUUAACUGACUCCGUGGAUUUCCUCUGGGCCAACUCAAAUUGUCUCCUAAGUUCUUGCAAUCUGAUUUUUCUCACGUUAGCACCUCGAUUUGAGUUCACUAAAAUUGUCCAAAUGUCUUUUGCCAACUUUGCAUGUAUAAAUUUUUUGCAACGUGCAACUGGACUUAAGUGUUGAGAUAGUACAUUGCCUUGCAAUCCAACUGUCUAUUUCUCUCUAAUUCUUUAACUGCAUCGCUUGAUAAUUCUAUAUCUACCACCGGUUCCAUAUAUCCUGUCUCGACAAUAUUCCAAACUCUAAUAUUUUGGAAAAAAAUUCUUCAUCAUUGACCUCUAAGCCUCAAAAUCGCUUUAACCAUCGAAGAUAAAAACGUGACAAUUGUACAAAUAAUGUGGAUCCACACUUUAAUUUCAUGAACAAGCUCCAAGCCCCGAUUUUGCAAACAAGGCCCAGGAUCAAAGCCUAGGACUCUGAUACCACUUGUUGGGACGAAGAAUCCCCAUGCACACAGCGGAAGCAAUUAUAACACAUAUAAAAAAUAUAUGUGAAGAGCAAAAGAACAAACACUCAAUAAUUUAUUUAAUUCAAAACAAAUACUAAGUCGUAGCCUUUCGGUCGCAACAACUUACAAAUCUCAACUAUGAGAUUUUCUCUCAUGUCUAAUCUCUAGACUCAACUCAACUCUCCACACAAUAACCUACUAGACUAUUAGUAUUUAUAGACUCCAAAAUUUCCUAAAGCAAAUACGGUUGUAAACCAAAACUUAUUUGGAAACUGACUUGAGAUUUCCUAAUCUAAUAUGGAAACUAAACAAAUAAGAUACCAAAAAGAAUUAGGAAACUAAAAUAGCUUGGUUUAUUUUCCUACAGUAAAAUGUACAAAAAUUUGAUUAGUGUGUAAAUCUUUGUUGACCAUUCCAUUUCUGAUUGUUUAAGUUUUGUACUCUUACACAUUUGGCAGCAUUUUAUUUUACAUUAGUAAACCAAGAAGUUUGCAGUAUUAUUAUACUCGAUCUUUUUUUGUUUUUUAAGGGUAAGUUACGUCAAAGGUUGUCAAACUUUCAAUAGCUUCAUUUUACUCUUGUAACUUUUUUUGGUACUAAAUGGUCCACUAGUUUUUUUUAAAAAUAAAUUUAUUGUACCCAUUCAACUACUUUUUGAACCAAAUAACCUACUAAACUUUUCAAGUGAUUUAUCUGGAUCGUUCUGUUAGAUUCUACUCUUAAGAUAGAUAAAAAGUUUGCCAUGUAGUCCUAUUUUAAAUGGAUAAUUUUGUUAUUUCACACCCACAAUCUAUAUGUCCAAAUCAAUUAAAAAAAUGUAUAGCUUCAGGAAAACCACAAAUUCUGUUUUGGAUAGGGCCAAAAAUAGUUUCUAUCACGAUCGAGAUUUUAUUUUGGGAUUUAGGUGUUUUAAAAAGUGAUUGAAUACUUUAAUCCAUUGGGGCAGAUGGAUUUUAGGCGCACAAUGAUGAAAUUGUCCAUUUAAAUCGGGCUCACAUGACAAACGUUCAUCUAUCUUAAUGGUAGAAUUUAACAAAAUAGUCAAGAUGAAUCACUUUCAAGAGUUUAAUAGGCUAUUUUGGUACAAAAAGUAGUUGACUGGGCAAAAUAAAACUUUUAAAAUGUUUGGCAUGCAGUUUGAUAGAAAAAACAGUUCAAUGAGACUUUUAAAAAGUUUGAACGUCUAUAAUCAACAAGUAGCAACCUUAUAUUAUUUUCUAAUGGCUGAUAGAAAGGACUAAAAGUCUAAAACUGUUCCUUGUCACAGUCUUAUCUACUCUUGUCUAUUUUCAGUUAACAAUCGUCCAAUACUUCCAUCAAAAGAAAAUCCACACAUGAAAAAUGAAGUGAUAAACCUUAACUUAUUCAGUAUAAAGUCAACACCAAACUUCUCUCUUUCUUCUCGCUAGUUGCAUCUUGAAUGGAGUUACUCUACAGCAUCCUAAGUCUCAUUUUUUCCGUAUUCUGGAUUGCUGUGAAGUUUCGGUGCUACUUCCCACAGAAAAACAGAAACUUCCCACAAAUUUGAUAAUUUGUCUGGUAUAUUACCAGAUACAUGCACUUGACAAGAGAAAUGCAAAUGGCUUGAAGGAGUUGUUUAAGCAAAUGCAUUGAUGGAUUAACUUAGCUGAAGUUAGAAAUACCACAGGAUUUAUAAACUAGCAGUAGCGAAGACAUUGGUUUUCUUUGAAAGCCGCAUGGAGUUUUUAUUUUUGGAAAAUAAUAUUCCAUACUAACACAAUUCUAUGAUAUAGGAAUAGAAUAAGGGGCAAAUUACACUUUAUCGCCCUGUGGUUUAGUGUUUUUGUAUAUUACCCCCUAUGAUUUUAAAAGCUAUAUAUAAUCCCUUCAUGGUUUGGAUUAAAGUGUCAAAAUAACGGAAUUUGCAAUCCAUAAUGGAGUCACCUAAAAUGUCAAAAAUACCCCUAUGUAAAGUUGAAAGUUAUUUAUUAACCACAGGAGAGUUAUGUGUAUAUUUUAAAAUCAUAAGGGGUUAUAUAAUAAAAUAUUAAAUUAUGAGGGGGUUAUAUUUUAAAACAUAAAAUCAUAUAGGGUUAUUGCGUCGGUAUAUUAUAUUUAUAUAUUUUGAUCAUUUCACCAUUUUAAUUUUUAAACAAGGGUAAGUUUGACAUUUUAAAAGGUUCCGGAGUUAAUGAUCAUUUUCAUGAUUUUGACACUUUAAUCCAAAUUAUGAGGGAGUUAUAUAUAGUUUUUGAAACUAUAGAGGAGCUGUGUACAAAAAUACUAAACCAUAGAGAGGUAAAAUGUAAUUUGCCCUAGAAUAAAAGAUGGUCCACCUUCUAUUUCUUAGAUUGCGUAAUUUGAGUUGCUUUAUGUAACUGAAUUCUUUAUCAUUAAAGUGUCACUUUCAUUUCUUUUGGGUUGUUGCUGGAGCCUUCACAUAUUGUUAAAUUAAAAAAUUAUUCUUAAAACUUAAUUUAGUUGGUAGGCAUAUUUUUUUUUGAGGUUUCUAAUUCGACUUUCAAGCCUUUCUCGUGUAAAACUUUGAGUGUUUUCUUGAACCAAAAAAAUUAAAUAAAUAAUAUAAAAUAAAACAUUUUUCCCUUUGCAUCUUCAUUGAUUUUCUUGAGAACUUUUGCUAUAAGCGUAUACAAUUCGAUAUAAUACGAAUUUUUCUACACUAUGGUUAGUAGGAUGGUACUUUCGUUGGGGGAGGAAGUUGAGGAAAGUUGAUUCAGUUUCCCAACCUCUACCUGCCGACCCUCCUUUUUGCUUUAAUAGUCCCUACCCAAAUGAUUAAAAUAGUCCCUCAAUUUUUUUGUUCAAAAGUUUAUGUCCCUCAACUUUAGUUCAUUAGCUGAUUAAGUCACCAGCUGUUUAACACUCAGUAAUUAGUUUGUUUGGAUAGUGAAUUAAUUAAAAAAUUCAUUUUCUUACAUCAAUGCAUUUUUCAAUUAUCUUUUUAUUUUAUAUAUAUCACAUAAAAAAAGUGAUAUAGCAUCAUUUGAUCUUUUGCAUUUUGGACAAGAAAGACGUAUACUUUUUGUCUUUUGGAUUUCUGAAGAUAGAGUUUGUUGUCUUUGUCAGAGUUCAUCAAACCAUAGCUCUAUUAUCAGGCUUUCAAAUAAAACACAUUUAACUUUUUCGAAAGCAAAUAAAAUUAAGACAACUCACAACCUUUGUUUGAUGCCACUGAAGUAUUGCGGCUGGUCAUAUAUACUAUAUAAAUACUGGAUACUGCCAGCAAAUAUCUCUGGAAAGAUGCACUAAAUUUAGAUUAUUACAUGCAUAUGGAUUAAACUAUUUCAAUUUUGAUUAUUUUAGUUUUGUACCACUAUUACACUUCUGCGCUCUGACUUUGAUUAUGUUCAAUCAAAUGCUAUUAACUUAAAUUAAAAACCCACUGAUUUCUGAAUUUAAAAUGUUAAAUUACAUCAUGCAUGAUCCCAAAUUUGGGAAGCACAUGCUUCCCAAAAUGUCUUUAUUCAACAAUCAGCAGCAUAAAGCAUUUGGAAAGCACCAAAAUGUAGAAACAUGAUAGAAGGAACUAAAAUUCAUAGGCCCACGUUUCAAUCUUAUCCACCCUCUGUAUUACCGCACAUGAAAAAUGAAGUGAAGCAUGAUAGCUGCAAGUAAAGACUCUCUUCAAUGGUCACUUGUCAAAGCAACUCCACUGUGCAAUUUAUGCUCCUUAAUUAUGGGGUGAACUUCAAAUUAAAGAAAUGAUAUUUAUAGUAAGACAACUAUUAAUGAGGGAAAAAAUUACUUCCUCCGUCUCAUUUUAUUAAGUUUGUUUUCUAUUUUAGUUUGUCUCAAAUUAUUUGUCAUAGUCUAAAAGAGAAAAACAAAAAGAGACCAAUUUCCCCCAUUUUACCCUUCAUUCAAUUUUCCAAAAAAAAGAGUAUUAGCAUAAUGUUUUAGCAUUAAAUCCUUUACAAACUAUUAUAAAAUUCUCAAAUUCAAAAGCAACAAACAAAAUUUGAAUUCAAGUUAAGUGGUAUUUAUGGAAACAUUUACUUGUUGGUUGGUGAAAAAUCAGAUUCCUUAAUCUAUGUGCAAAAUUAUACAUGACAAAUCAAAUGAGACGGAUGAGUAUUAUGUGUUUUAAUGAUGUCAUCUUAGUGCCUAGAUUUGUUGGCUUAUUGUCCAUAUUUUUUGAAUUAAUGUUGUAACUUUCAGUAAGUAAGUGAGAGAUUUUGAAUCAGAAUCUCUUACUUAUGGUCUUCCCAUUUUAUUAUCUAACCCGACCCCACCCACCCCACCCCCUAUUUAUUGAAUUAAUAUUGAUGCUCAUGUAUGAAACAACUGAUACUGGUGAUUAGAGAGUGCCCAAAUGCAAAAUUACUACACUGCAUAUAAAGUCAACGACAAACAUCUUUCUCCUUGCUUCUUGCAUCUUGAGCCUUGAUCAUGGAGUUACUCUACACCAUUCUAGGUCUCAUCAUAUUCUUGAUGGCUGUAAAGUAUCAGUAUCUCCGAAAAAAGAACCGAAAACUGCAGCCUCCAAGUCCUCCAGCUCUUCCAAUUUUGGGCCAUCUUCACCUUGUGAAGACUGCCCCUCACCUUGCCCUGCAAAAGCUCUCCAUCAAAUAUGGUCCCCUGAUUUUCCUUCAUUUUGGGAUUCGUCCUUUCCUUGUUGUUUCCUCGCCAUCUCUUGCAGAGGAAUGCUUAACCAAGACCAAUGAUAUUAUUUUCGCGAACCGGCCUGAGUCAGUUUCCAGUAAAUACCUUGGCUACAACUCAACUAUUCUCAUACUCUCCCCUUAUGGAGAUCACUGGCGAAAUCUCCGCAGAGUCACAACCAUCCAUAUGUUUUCUUCGAUUCAACUCCAGCGUUUAUCCUCCAUCUGGACCGAAGAAAUCCAUUUCAUCAUCAAAAAAUUGUUUUCAAAUAACUCUGAUGAGAAAACCUGGAAAGUUAAGGACAUGAGUUCUUUGUUCCGGGAGUUAUUAUUCAACGUGAUAACGAAAAUAGUUGCUGGAAAAAGAUGGCCAUCUGAUCAGCCAGGUGAUAUAUUUUCACCGCGACCAAUCACUAAUCUUUGUGAUUAUAUUCCAAUCUUGAGGUGGGUUGGCUAUGGAGGGUUGGAGAAAGGUGUAAUCAGUUUGCACCAGAAGAGGGAUGAGUUUCUUCAGGGCCUGAUUGAUCAAACACGUAAAGAGGAAGCAGAAGACGGUUCUUGUCCGACAGAGAGAAGGAAAACAAUUAUUCAAGAAUUGCUAUCUCUACAAGAAGCAGAACCCGAAUACUACACUGAUGAAAUUGUUAAAGGAAUUAUACAAGUAAGUCUCUUCUACUUGAAUCUCUUUUACAAAUUGGUCUAUUAUUCAUUGGAACAAGGUCAUCUCACCCAUGUAGCAGCAGCACAAUUUGUCUAGCCCUAUUUAGUGGUAGGGCUAAGACUAGUGGUGCGGGAUGCAGUGCUUGUGUGGUGCAGAUGCAACUGCAUGCUUUUCACGGUUCAAAUUGGAUCACAUUAGCUCGAUUCCAUCUGAAUUUUGAAAUGAUCAAAUCAAAUCGUAGCUUGAUGUUGUGGUCUAAUCUGAGCUGUAGAAAACUCCUCCGACUGCAUAUAGGCAUCGGAUCUAGCGGUGGCGAGUGUGGAAAUGGUGUGUGCCACUAACUUCAGUGUUGGUGUCUAGAUAAGGAAUUUAGUCAAAGUCUUUUCAAAAAUUUGGUUUUCAAGAAUUUAGUACACGUGAUUUCAACAUUAAAUAUGCCAAUAUCUAUUGGUGACGGGUGAGCUGGGGCAUCCGUUAACGUGUAAAUUGGGUUAGUCUUGUUGUGGUGCUCUAACGUAGCGGGGCAGCCCGUCCCCCGUCCCCCGUCCCCCCUAAUAAAAAAUUAUUAUAUAAUUUUAUUAUGGUUAAAAUUUAGCAAAUAAUCAAGUACUAAAAUAUCAACACAUCAUCAAAUUAUUAUUCAUUGUAAUUUUACAAUUGAAACGUAUAAAAUCAAUCAAAUAAAAAUUAUUUGAAUACAAUCCAACAUUAUGAAAUAAAUAUAACUAAAGUAGUCAAGUUUUCACUUUUGGCACAAAUACAAUCACUAAUUCAUUAUUGUGCUUGUGCUUUUUUUAAGAAAAAAAUGUUAUUGUAUUAAGUGUAAUUAGGGAUUUAGUAUAAAUGUAUUAGUAAAUUUAGUAUAACCAAUUAAUAAUUUGUAUUAGUACACAUAUAUAAUUAUUAGUAUAAUUAAUAAUAUCAAUUAUAUUAUAUAUACUAAUAGACAUUAUAUAAUACAUAUAACUAAUAAUAUCAUUAUCAUAAGUUUGGAACUAAUUAAAUUAUAUAUUAUAUAUAUAAUUAUAUACAUAUAUAUUUUAUAUAUUUAUUUUUUUAAAGCGGGUGGCGGGGCGGGGGUACACUCCCCCGCCCCCCCGCCCAGUUUCUAAGCGGGGGGAAAAAAAUUCCCCCGUCCCCGCCCCAACCCCCUCCCCAUUAGCCCCCCGCGAGGCGGGUGCCCGCGGUCACCCGCCCCCAUUGUCAUCCCUAGUUUGGUACAAUUGUUAUACUUUUCACAUUAUUUGGUGUAUAAUUAUAUUAUAUUAUUUUUUUUAGAAAUAAAAGUGAUGUACAUAAAUAAAGUAUUUGACACAUAUUCAAUAUAAUAUUAUGAAGUAUUUGUACACUAAAAAAUUUAAACCUAUACAAUGGUUGGACGAAAUUGUAUAAAAUACAAUUGUACCAAAUUCCUAUUCCAAAGUAACAUAUCAAUUUAUGGCUGUAUCUAUCAUUUUACACCAUAAAAUAAUCAAAGAAUCUUUAAUGGUAUGGGGCAAUAUUUAAGGUUUUAACAAUAUUUUCCGCAACCGUAGAUUUAGGAAUCUAGUUCACAAAAUUUAUAGACACAUGAGAAUAACUUAACAAACAAAAAAGAUUAUUUUAACAAGUUACUGUCCUUUUUUUCCUCAAAAGUUUGGGAUUCAAUAUAAUGGAUGUAAUAGCCUUAAGAUGCCCUUAUAGUUUGGCUUGGCAACAUGGGAUGGAAGCAAUUGCCAAUAUAACUAUCUCAACAGUGUUGAACUUUCGUAAUAAAGUAAAAUUUAUCACAAAAUAGUGUGCACAGCUGUAUUACAAGAAUGUUAAAAAUCAGCCUCAUCCUAACGAAAAAUACAUGUAAUUGUAUCCGAAUAUUAAUUGUACAUUUUUUAAUUGUUGUUUUGUUGGCCAAAUUAAGGCCCUUAAAAUUUGGGGAAGGUUGCUGCUUGCUCCCAGUCCCUACCCCUGAUGGAGGACAAAUAGGUAAAUUCACAUUGCUGAGGUGAUAAACUGACAAUUGAUACACGUGAUGAUAUUCGGCAACGGACGAUAGAAGCAAAUCAGAUUAGAUGAUGAGACAUUAACCAUGACACUUGUGGCUGGGUUUAAGUCAACGGUGGAGGCUGUGAGAUAGUUUUAGAAUUGGUCGUUACGAAGGCACAUCAAUGUUGCUUUUGAACCUUUGUCCUGGCUCUUUUUGAAAAAUAUACAGAAAAAUGUGCACAAAUCCAAAAAUUAAUCACAUCAAUGUUCUUUACAACAGAAAAAUCAAACCACGUCAACUAGGAAAUUUUUGGACUUUUUUUUUAAAAAAAUCUAUCAAUUACUAAAGACAUUUUAAAAUGUGUUCAUUUGAGUACAGGUAUUUAAGGUUAAAUGCAUAAAACUCCCACGAACAAGUACACUAAUUGCACUUUACAUUCUAAAGUAUUUUAAUAGGCACUUUACACCUUUAGUUAACUAAAAAAUUACAUGAAAAUUAAUUUCAUCCAAAUAAUUGAUGAAAUGAUUAAUUAUCCUCCAUUAAAACUUAAGUAAUAAAAAUACUAUUUUGGUGGGGAAGAUUACUAAUUUAAAUAGACUAAUUUUCACUUUAUGUCAAAAUGUCUAAUUGUUAACACAUAAAAAAUCGAUUUGAAUGACGAUUAAGGCUAUUGGAGUCAAAAUGGGGGCAAAAUAUAGAAAUAUUGAGUGAUUAAUGUUGCAAUUUUUAAAAUUCCAUAAUUUUCUUCAAUGCAUCAUAAUGCAACAAAAUUUCAUUUGAAAUAUUCACAAGCAUAAAAUAGGAGUAGAACCCAAAAAUUUGCCUAUGAAUUUAGCACAAUAAUUGCAAUAAAAUUUCAAUAACGAACCAAAAUUAGAAGCCAUAUAUUAUGAAACAAAAUAUUGGGCUAAAAUUUUUUAAUAAAACACCUAAGUUAUUUACUUUUCCUUGACAACAAUCUUUUCUUACCUAGGCUAACUUGAAAUACGUCGUGAAGUAAGGUUGAUGAGAUUCUUGAAUUGAAUUUAUUCCUUUUCUUGUUUUUUUCCUACUUCUUUUGUUUAAUUGUCAUUCAAAGUGAUCAUAUUUUUAUUGUUAUAUGUUUCCAAUUAGAAUUUUAUUAUGAAGUGAAAAUUAAUCCAUUUAAAGUCACAAAUUUUUCUACCAUAACGGUAUUUUUGUCACUUAAAAGCUUUUAAUGGAGGAAAAAUUGGUCACUUCAUCAAUUAUUUAGAUGGAAUUAAUUUUCUCAUUAUUUUAUAGUUGACUAAGGGUGCAAAAUGCCUAUUAAAAUAGUUUAGGGUACAAAAUGCAACUCGUGUAAUAGUUCGUCAGGGUUUUCUGCAUUUCACACCCUAUUUAAUUUUGGCUUUUCAGUUUAUACUCUGAACUAUGAAUUGUGAUACUUAAGUAUUAUAUACUAUCAAUUUUAGGGCACAUCGUCCAAAUAAGAUAAAAUCAAUUAAUUCUUUCAGCAACUUUAGAAUGAAAUACUUUAAUACCCCUAAACGAAUUUCAGAAUUUGGACAAACAACAAAUUAAGGAUAUUUGAAGCCUUCUAAACUACCUAUAGAAGAAGUUAUUUGGAUUUGAGUUGAUUUGAUCAAUGGGCCAACAAAAGAGUAGUAUAAGAUACCGAAGUUCUAAAAUUAGCAAUUUAGAGAGCAACAAGCAAAUUGGUGAUAAUUUAGGAGUGCAUAUUGGCAAUAACCCAAAAAAAGUAGUUCCUUCAUGCCUUUACAUAUAAUUGAGGUCUAAAGAUAUCAAAUGCCAUAAUAUAUAGUUCCCUCAUGCCAGAAUAGGGGUUCAUUUUUUCGAAUAUCACAUGUAAUUCUCAUAUUUCGCUUGAACCUUCUUAUGUGACUAGUGGACAUUCAUCUGCGAGCAAUGUCAAAAGUGUAAAUUAUUGAUUCAGGAUCUAUAGCAAGAGAAAUGACAUUAUUUGUCAACAACUUGAUUCUAAAAACUAAUUCAUAUUCUUUUCUUAUUCAUUCAAAAAGUUGCAUUGAAUUUGACUGUACAUUACUUCUUGUGUAGAUAAUGUUGUCAGGCGGAACCCAUACUACAUCUCAGACAAUGGAGUGGGCAUUGUCCAGCCUAUUAAAUCACCCUAAUGUACUGCAAAAGGCAAGAGAUGAACUAGAAAAAAUGCAGCCUGGCCAUCUGCUAAAUGAUUCGGAUAUCUCCAAAUUGCCUUAUUUACGCUGCAUAAUCAACGAAACACUAAGGUUAUUUCCUGCGGCACCAACUCUUGUGCCUCAUUUUUCAUCUGAGGAUUGCACCAUAGGAGGCUACAAGGUUCCUAAAGGUACAACUUUGUUAGUGAAUGUUUGGGCCAUUCACAGGGACCCCAAUCUUUGGGAAGAGCCCAACAAGUAUAAGCCAGAAAGAUUUGAAGGAAUGGAUGAGAGAGGGUGGAAUGAAGGGUUCAACUUUCUUCCAUUUGGAAAAGGCCGGAGAAUUUGCCCAGGAGCUGCCAUGGCCAUAAGGUUGGUCGGGUUGACAUUGGGCACCCUGAUUCAAUGCUUUGAUUGGGAAAGAGUUGGGCCUGAAAUGGUGGAUUUGGAAGAAAAUCAAGGAUCAACUUUGGGUAAGGCCAAUCCUUUGGAGGCAUCUUACAAGCCGCGCCCAUCUAUGAUCAAAACAAUUUCUCAGCUUUAAGUUAGAUGUGUUGUUCUAUUAAGAUAAAUUGGGAUUUCUUUUUUUUUUUCUGAACUUAAAUAUCAAGAAAUAAUUGUCUGUUCUUUGGUUUUGAGCACCUCUUACAAUUUCAGAUUUGUAGUUGUAACUUUCUUUCAAUACAAGUUAAUGCUCAAAUUAUACAAACUCAAGUAUUUUACAUGGAAAUGCGGAACAUUAAAUGAUUCUAAUUCUACACUGUGGAGAAGGAGAUGGAAAGUACAACCCCACAAGCCUAAUUAGGCGUCUUAUUUAUUCACCAAUCUAAUUGAACACCAGGGAGCCUGAAAACGGUGUGAAGAACCAAAACGAAAUAAUCAUUAUACCAGUACAGUAGUAAUUGCACUGCUUUUAAAUUGAAUAUCAUAGUUUGCCCAAAUUGCAGAAUUCAAAUAAUAAGAGUUGAACGUAACAAUGACCGGAGAAAACUGGGAUCCAUGGUGACCCUAAUGUUUGGGAAUGAUGGAAGGGGGAUGCAAUGAAGGGUUCAAUUUUUUUCCAUUUGUUAAAGGGAAGAGAGCUUGUCUAGGAGCUGCUUUGGCUAUGAAGUUAGUUGCAUUGUCAUUCAUGUUCGCCGUCACGAGUUGCUGUUGCUGGUGUUCCACGUCUGUCACAGUAUAUUGGUUGAAUAUUGGGUAAUAUGUAUAUUAUAGCACAUGAAAAUUUUCAAAAAAUCUGAAAAAAUUAUUAAAAUUAGAUAAAGCCAAAAAAGGCACAAUUUGAAAAAAAUAUUCGAGUUGAUUCCCAAUGGAUUCGAAUAUAUUGGUCGAUACCAUACAUCACGGAUUUGAAUUGGUCGAGUCAAAUCGAGUCGCCACAGAUAUAUUGUUAUCCACAAUUCAGCGAUCAGUAUCGUGCCUGUUUCCUCCGUUCUGAUUACGACUUGGCUGAUUAAAAUAUUCCUAUACACUAAGGGCUUGUUCUAAAACUGCUUAAAAUAUGGGAAUCCCUUCCCACAUCGACAGUUUCUUGGCUUUUUUUUAUCAGUGGUCACAUAUUGAAUAUUCCUAGUAUUUAAUGUCGCAUUCAAACAUUUCAAUUUGACAAAAACAUGCUAUGACAGGGCAACAAGACAAAGAAAUAAAAGAUGCAUUUUCGUAUGCAAAUUGAAUUGAGCUCAUUGUGACAAGUGACAGCCUUCGUUGAUGCCACUACAAUGUCGGGGCAGGUCAUAACAUGAAUAUGUAAAAUUUUUUCAGAAAAUAUCUUUGGUAAAAUGUACAAAAAUUUGAUUAGUGUGUAAAUCUUUGUUGACUAUUCCAUUUCUGAUUGUUUAAGUUUUGUACUCUUGCACGUUUGGCAAGAUUUUAUUUUACAUUAGUAGACCAAGAAGUUUGCUGUAUUAUAGUCGAUCUUCUUUUGUUUUUUAAGGGUAAAGUAUGUCGAAGGUUAUCAAACUUUUCAAUAGUUUCAUUUUACUCUCGUAACUAUUUUUCGUACUAAAUAGUCCACUAAAUUUUUUAAAAGUCUCAUUUUAUUCAUUGAACUAUUUUUUUUAAUAAGAAAUGGCUCAUUAAUUUUUGUUAAAAAUUUUCAUUUUACCCACUCAACUUCUUUUUUUUUUUUUUUUUACCAAAAAACCUACUAAACUUUUAAAGUGAUUUAUCUGGAUCGUUUUGUUAGAUUCUACCAUUAAGAUAGAUAAAAAGUUUGCCAAGUAGUCCAAUUUUAAAUGGAUAAUUUUUUCAUUUCACACCCAAAAUCUAUAUGUCCAAAUCAAUUAAAAAAUUUUAUAGCUUCAGAAAAAACCACAAAUUCUAUUUUGGAUGGGCCAAAAAUAGUUUUUGUGAGGAUUGAGAUUUUAUUUUGGGAUUUAGGUAUUUUUAAAAGUGAUUGAAUAGUUUAAUCCAUUGGGGCAGAUGGAUUUUAGGCGUGCAAUGACGAAAUUAUCCAUUUAAAUCGGGCUCACAUGACAAACAUUCGUCUAUCUUAAUGGUAGAAUUUUAACAAAAUAGUCAAGAUGAAUCACUUUCAAGAGUUUAAUAGGCUAUUUUGUACAAAAAGUAGUUGACUGGGCAAAAUAAAACUUUUAAAAUGUUUAGCAUGCAGUUUGAUAGAAAAAAUAGUUGAAUGAGACUUUUAAAAAGUUUGAACGUCUAUAAUCAAAAAGUAGCAACCUUAUAUUAUUUUCUAAUGGCUGAUAGAAAGGACUAAAAGUCUAAAAUUGUCCCUUGUCAGAGUCUUAGCUACUCUUGUCAAUUUUCAGUUAACAAACGUCCAAUACUUGCAUCAAAAGAAAAUCCAAACAUGAAAAAUGAAGUGUUAAACCUUAACUUAUUCAGUAUAAAGUCAACACCAAACUUCUCUCUUUCUUCUUGCCAGUUGCAUCCUGAAUCUUGAUUAUGGAGUUACUCUACAGCAUCCUAAGUCUCAUUUUUUUUUUCGUUUUCUGGAUUGCUGUGAAGUUUCAGUACCACAUCCCACAGCAAAACAGGAAACUUCCCACAGAUUUGAUAUUUUGUCUGGUAUAUUACCAGAUAUAUGCACUUGCCAAGAGAAGUGCAAAUGGCUUGAAGGAGUUGUUUAAGCAAAUGCAAUGAUGGAUUAACUUAGCUGAAGUUAGAAAUAUUUGAAUUUUUUAUGUUUCUAUCUUGUGCUUUCACAUCUGAAUUGAUGUAUUUUUCUGAAGUUUAUUAGGUGGUUUUGUUGAAAAGUAUGAGUAAUUUUUGUGGGAAAAUAAUAUUCAAGCCCUUGCAUUUUCAGUCACUUUUGUAUUGUUGGGUAAUAAGGGUGGUCGCAUAGGACCACAUCCCACAGGAUUUAUAAACUAACAGUAGCGAAGACAUAGGUUUUCUUUGAAAGCCGCAUGGAGUUUUUAUUUUUGGAAAAUAAUAUUCCAUACUAACACAACUUUAUGAUAUAGAAAUAGAAUAAAGGGCAAAUUACACUUUACCCCCCUGCGGUUUAGUGUUUUUGUACAUAACUCCCAAUGGUUUCAAAAGUUAUACAUAACCCUCUCAUAAUUUGGAUUAAAGUAUCAAAGCAACAGAAUUUGGAAUUCACAAUGGAGUCACCUAAAAUGUCAAAAAUGCCCUAUGUAAAGUUGAAAUUUAUUUAUUAACCAUAGGGGGUAUGUGUAUAUUUUAAAACAUAAGGAAGUUAUAUGGUAAAGUAUUAAACUAUAAGGGGGUUAUAUGGUAAACUAUAAAAUCAUAUGGGGUUAGUGCGUCAUGUAUAUUAUAUUUAUAUAUUUUGGUUAUUUUAACCAUUUUAAUUUUUAAACAUGGGUAAUUUUGACAUUUUAAAAGGUUCCGUAACGAAUGAUCAUUUCCAUCACUUUGACACUUUAAUCCAAAUUAUGAGGGGGUUAUAUAUAAUUUUUAAAACUAUAGAGGAGUUAUGUACAAAAAUACUAAACCAUAAAGAGAUAAAAUGUAAUUUACCCUCGAAUAAAAGAUAGUCGACCUUUUAUUUCUUAGAUUGCGUAAUUUGAGUUGCUUUAGGUAACUGAAUUCUUUGUCAUUAAAGUGUCACUUUCAUUUCUUUUGGGUUGUUGCUGGAGCCUUCACAUAUUGUUAAAUUAAAACAUUAUUCUUAAAACUUAAUUUAGUUGGCAGGGACAUUUUUUGUUGAGGUUUCUAAUUCAACUUUCAAGCCUUUCUCGUGUAAAACUUUGAGUGUUUUCUUGAACCAAAAAAUUAAAUAAAUAAUAUAAAAUAAAACAUUUUUCCCUUUGCAUCCUCAUUGAUUUUCUUGAGAACUUUUGCUUUGAGCGUAUACUAUUCGAUAUAAUACGAGUUUUUCUACUCUAUGGUCAGUAGGAUGGUAUUUUCGUUGGGGGAGGAAGCGGAGGAAAGUUGAUUCAGUUCCCCAACCUCUAGCUUCCGACCCUCAGUUUUGCUUUAAUAGUCCCUACCCAAAUGAUUAAAAUAGUCCCUCAACUUUAGUUCAUUAGCUGAUUAAGUCACCAGCUGUUGAACACUCAGUAACUUACAUUAUUUGGGUAGUGAAUUAUUUUUUAAAAAAAUUAUUUUCUUGUAUCACAAUAUAUUUUUUAACUACUUUUUUAUUUCAUAUACAUCACAUUAAAAAGAAUUGUACAUCACCAUUUUAUCUCGUAUACAUCAUAUCAAAAAAGUGUUGCAUUAUUUUUUCAAAAAAUUAUCCUAAAUAAUCUACUAUCCAAACUCAUAGAUUUGCAGCAUCGAUGAAAUCUUCUUGUGAGGUUGGCAUUUUUCCAAGAAGUUUUUAUAUGUGUUAUCUUAGAACAAUGGCAAUAAGCAACUCGAUUUGCCAUGAUCCGGUGCCCCAACCACGAAAUGCCAAACUCCCAUUAUUGGUCACUGUACAAGUUAAUUUAUAGAUGAUGGUAGCAUCCCAAUAUUCCUAUUUUCUUUGCCUUCGAUCCUUUUUUUUAAACAUAAACAAAUAUGUGCUUAGUCCAAUUAAGGAGGAUGGAAAAUUUGCUUUUUAAUCAGAGACUUGGUGUUCCCCGAACAUGCCUUUUGAAGAUGGCUUCCUCGUAAGCUCCCGAAGUAGAUGGCUUGGCCUCUCCCUCUACCCCGAAAAUAUCAUAUUUUUAUUAAGGGUACGUUUGGUCCCCCAUAGAAUUGGAGUGUAGAAUUGGAAUUGGAGCCCCAAUUUCAAUUCUUGUGUUUGGGUACUAUCUUUCCUGUAGAAUUAGAAUCGAACUGCAAUUCCAAAUCGAUCCAAUUCCAUGGUUCCAAUUCUUUGGCUGGACCAAAGAAUUCCAAUUCCAAUUCCACGGACAAACUUCCAUUCGGGUCAACACGCGGACUUUAAAUGGGUAAAGCUUCCAAAACGGGUCAACUAUAAAGCUGGAUUAAAAAAAAAAUACAAAGCUGGCUUCUUUCUCUCUUCUCGUGUGCAAUCGCUCUAGCGUUUUCUGCCACCACCACCGCCGGUGCCGCCUCCUCUUCCCAACACUUCACCCGUAACCCCUCCAGGCCUUUCCUCCCUCUUCUCUCCUCCCCAACAUCGUGUGGGUGAAAUCGCUAUAUCUAUUCUGCUAUAUCGUGGUAAGCUUUCGUUCCGCUGUAUCCUCUCUCUUUCUAUGUGAUUCGCUUCUUCUCUAGAUUUGCAAAACUAGGGUUAUUUUGCUAUAGAUACAGCCCAUAUGAUUGCUGAUGACCAUGUCGUAGAUGUCAAAAUCAUACAUAAAAAGUAACAGAGAAGGAAAAGAAAUUGUAAGAAUCAUCACGUUUCUUCAUAAAAGGAAAUACGAAAAAAAAGAAAGAGAAGACAAAUUGCCAUUAUAUCUUUCUUCACUUUCUGAAAAAACGAUGUUUAUGAUCUAUAGAUGUGGAUUUUCAAUGUGACUAAAAGGACUCCAGGCAUAGUAGAAACUAGAAAGGGUACAGAAAUAAAGUAGACAAGAUGUUAAAACUUAGAAACUAAAAAAGAAUUUACGACUUAAGCUAGUAUAGAAAACUUCAAUUUUUAGCAUUGAUUAAUGCUAGAAUUUAUCAUGGGACCAGAUAUUUGAGAAUACAUUUUUCUAUUUCUUUUAGUGAGAAUACAUUUGUUAGACUUUUAGUGAGAAUGCAUUCUUAUAAAGUACCACAAAUUUGUGUUGCAAUAUUUUCUAUUUAUAUUGUCAUUGUUGGUUGUGGUUUUUGCCUGAAUGUAAAGAGCAAUAUACUUGGAUUUCCGGCUGGAUUUUGCCCAAUCGUUGGAGUUGGUGGACAUAUAAGUGGUGGUGGCUACGGUUCACUGUUGCAAAGAUAUUGCCUGAUGGUGGAUAAUGUUCUUGAUGCUCAGAUUAUCGAUGUUAACAGCCAGGUUUUGGAUAGAAAAGAAAUGGGAGAAGAUCUGUUUAGGGCUAUUAGAGAUGGUGGUAGUGCUAGUUUUUGUGUUGUUUUUGCAUAUAGAAUCAGGUUAGUCAGAGUGCCUGAAAUUCACACUGUUAAUGUGCAGAAGACUGAGGCAGAGAAUGCAACAGAUGUUCUUUACAAAUGGCAAAAUGUUGCUGACAAAAUUGACAACGAUCUGUUCAUUAGAGUUCUUGUGCAGCCAAAUACUGGAAAAGUAAAGAGUCCAAAAUCAUUAGAUUGACAUUUUUGGGACAUUUUCUUGGAGAUGCAAACAGGUUGAUUUCUGUUAUGAACACUGGAUUUCCUUAACUGGGAUUGAAGAGAAGUGAUUGUUUGGAAACAAGUUGGAUUGACACGAUGCUCUGGUGGUAUAGCUACAAGAUUGGGACAGCAAAGGAAGUAUUAUUAGGAAGGGCUUUUGAUCAAUUGAUCUUCUUGAAGAGAAAAUCAGAUUAUGUACAGAACCCAUUCCUAAAGAUGAUUAGUAUCACUAUUCAAGAAAAUGGUUCAACUUGGAAAAACAAGACUUGUUUUCAAUCCUUAUGGUGGAAGAAUGAGUGAAAUUCCUGAGAAUGAAACACCAUUUCCUCAUAGGGCGGGGAUCAUCUUCAACCUGCCAGAUUGGUGAAAGUGAAGGCUACCGUGGAUCCUCAAGAUUUCUUCAGGAAUGAACAGAGCAUCCCCACUUUGAACCUUCAAACCUCUAAAGGGAGGAAGGGACGAAAGUAAAGAGCAACAAAUGAUAAUUGCUCAUAUAGUAACGAUUAUCAAGUAGCAGAGGUGCCUUGUCCUAUUAAUGGCUUUAGCAUAAAAUGUAAUGUUAAUGAAUGGAUAUAGUGAGCAUUACUUUUGUAGCAUUGUAGCACCGAAUGGUUGCUUGUGCAUUAAAGAGGCAAAAGUGAUGUACAAGGUUUUAACUGUAAGAAAAAUAUCAAGGUUUUAACUUGAUGAAUAUUAACUACUUUUUAAGUUAGAAUAUAUAAUUAGUUUUUUAUUUAAUAUAAUUUAAUUAAUAAUAAAGGAAACAAGAAUAAUAUAUAUAUUGCAAAAAAGGAACUAAUUGGUUUUCUUUUUCUUUAAAGCUUUAGUAACAAUUAGUUAAAUGCAAGAAAAAAUAAAUUAUUAAAGGCACUAAUUGGUUUUUUCCUUGAAGCUUUAGUGACAGUUAGUUAAAUAUCAAAAAAAUUAUUACAUAGGAAAAAGAAAAAAAGAAAAUUUUUAUGUAAGCAAAUGUUAGAUGGAAGCAAUUCUAAUUUUUAAUGAAUUCUUCUUUCAUCAAAACAAAGAAUUUGAAAUUCUAAAUGAAUUCUGCAUCAAUUCUAUGCAUUUUCCAAACAAAAGAAUUCCAAUAUUUUGGAAUUCCAAUUCCUAGAAUUUUAAUUCUAUAGAAUUCCAAUUCCAAUUCAAUUCCAAUUCUAUACAACCAAACGCACCCUAAGUUGAAAUCAGGGAAAAAUUAUACCACACGUAUGGAUGUUCCAAUGGCCAAUACCAAAAAAAAAAAAAAAGAAUAAUUAUACAAUCUAACUAGUCAACUACAACAACAAACCACUAGCAAAUGACUCAAGUGAAAAUUUUCCGAUCUAAGUCUCAACUCGUACUAAUCUUCCAAUUCUUUCUAAAUCUAUCUACUCUUAACAGUACAAUUUACAUCACGAACAAUUCAUUCCACCCCUAUAGAGGAUGCAGAUUUGACGAUUGACUAGCUAGUCUAUGGAAAAAAUGUAACAUUUGGGUGGUCCAAUCACACAAGGACAAAAUUGGCAAAAUACUUCGAGGACUCAGUAAACUAAAGUUAAGAGUUGAAGCACCAAAAUUGUUUAGUAAAAACGUUGAGGCACUAUUUUGCUCAUUUGCUCCAAUAAAUUUACGGAUAAAAAAAAGAUUAUUUCACCCAAGUCCACUGCCACUGGCACUUCCAGUAACUUAUUGUGGUGGUAAGUUCUUCUUCUUCUUCUCUUUCAUUUUUUUGGUUUUUCUUGAAAUUUGAUGUUUGACACACUUUCUUUGGUAAUGUCAUACUGCCAAGGUUUGUAUUAACAGAGUUGAGAAUAUAAAGGCAAAAAAAAGGUUUAUCUAUCCACUGAUGGAAAUUUGUGAAUGGUGAUUACCAUAAAAUUAUUUAUUUAUUUUUGGGUUACAUUACAUGGAAUUCAGGCUUUAUGAAAUAUAGUCAUGAUGUUUGAUCUUUUGCAUUUUGAGCAAGAAAGACGUAUACUUUUUUGUCUUUUGGAUUUCUGAAGAUAGAGUUUGUGGUCUUUCUCCUUGCUUCUUGCAUCUUGAGCCUUGAUCAUGGAGUCACUCUACACCAUUCUAGGCAAUGUUUUGAAAACCGGACCGGACCGGCCGGUUCGACCGGUUGAACCGCGAACCGGCCAUGCACCGGUCCGGUUCAAUGACAUUGUUGACUUUGCUAGAAAACCGGUCAAAGACCGGUUGAACCGUGAAAACCGCCGAACCGGAUUGAACCGGCGGUUUUUCGGUUUUCAGCUUUCCUUUUUUUUUUUUUUUUUUUUUUGCAAAAUGCAACUAUCAAGAUUCGAACCAAGACCUUUGUAAUAAAAGACCAAUGUAUUAACCGUUGCACCAUCACAUUUUAUUAGUUUUUUUUGAUAACUUAUUUAUAUAAAGCAAACACUUAUAUUUCUUUUUUCCAUUUUUCUUACAAAAUCUCAUGCUCUCAUGGCUCUUUCUUUUUAAUUUUCAACUCUCUCUCUAUUCUCUUUUCUUUUGUCACUCCCUUUUUAAUCAAAGCUCUUUAUUUUUAAUUUAUUGAUGUUUUCUUCCAUCUUUUAAUUUUGUUUUUAUCCAUUAAAUUGAAAAAGGUUAAAAAAGAAUUUUUUUUAACCCAAAUUAUUUAAUGCCACAACCACUCACUUUUAUCUUAUUUUUUGUUUCUUAUCAAGUUUACAUUUCUAUUUUCAAUUUUCUUGACUUCCUUCGAAUUCCAAAUUUUCUUUUUUAAAUUGCAAUAUCUAAAUUCCAAAACGUAAAUUAAAAUUUAAGUUCCUAAUAUCUAAAUUCUCAGAGACAUGAAUUUUGUAUAAUUUCAAAAUAUUGUGAUAUUUUGGGGUUGGAUUUAGAUAUAAUUGAAAUUGAGAUGAAAUUUAUUUGUUUUAACUUAUAAUUUAAAAAAUUUAUUUUUAAAAAUCCAAGUUAUUAAAAAAUAGUAAAUUUUUCAUCAUAUAAAAUAUUAAAUUAGUCUAUUACAUGUCUUAUUUUGUACAUAUAUAUAUUUAUAUAAAUUAUUUUUUAAAAAAUUCAUUGAACCGAGGUUGAACCGGUCCGACCGGUUGAACCUCGACCCUUUCACUUCACCGGUUCAAUUAACGGUCCGGUUUUUAAAACAUUGAUUCUAGGUCUCUUCAUAUUCUUGAUGCCUGUAAAGUAUCAGUAUCUCCGAAAAAAGAACAGAAAACUGCAGCCUCCAAGUCCUCCAGCUCUUCCAAUUUUGGGCCAUCUUCACCUUGUGAAAACUGCCCCUCACCUUGCCCUGCAAAAGCUCUCCAUCAAAUAUGGUCCCCUGAUUUCCCUUCAUUUUGGGAUUCGUCCUUUCCUUGUCGUUUCCUCACCGUCUCUUGCAGAGGAAUGCUUAACCAAGACGAAUGAUAUUAUUUUCGCAAACCAGCCUGAGUCAGUUUCCAGUAAAUACCUUGGCUACAACUCAACUGCUCUCAUAAUCUCCCCUUAUGGAGAUCACUGGCGAA
RNAcentral lists this long non-coding RNA (54553 nucleotides) under Coffea arabica (coffee). Its description in RNAcentral is "long non-coding RNA (CARA_LNC000106)". The record is from RNAcentral. Lineage: Eukaryota; Viridiplantae; Streptophyta; Magnoliopsida; Gentianales; Rubiaceae.